This 61460-nucleotide long non-coding RNA is filed under the name Sorghum bicolor (sorghum). Its description in RNAcentral is "long non-coding RNA (SBIC_LNC009472)". Lineage: Eukaryota; Viridiplantae; Streptophyta; Magnoliopsida; Poales; Poaceae. The record is from RNAcentral.
CGCGACUGCCGUCGCGGCCGUGGCAGCUGGGAGACGACGGUGGCCGGCGCCAUCCUCGAGGUGGUGUGAGGACGGCCGGCCGGCGGCGACGUGCAUGGCGUGGCGCGCGGCUAAUAAUAAAAGGGGUGUACGUACGUACGUGUCACCGGGCGUGGCUUCUCUGCAGGGGACCCACAUCGACCAAGUACUACUGCUCGUUCGUACUACGUACGUAUAUACGCCCGUGUAUACGUACGUAUGUACAUAUGUGUGUAUACGUCUUUGCUGCACGUAUGUAGAGAGACGUGAGAAUAAAGAGUGGUAGCUACAUGCACGGCGGCCAUGGCUCUCCGAUGAGAGAGCUGCUGCUAGCUGUGUUUGUGUGUGUGAUCGUCAUGUUGCUUGGUGAGGGAUCUAGCAGAAGUCUAAGUGCGCUUUGUACUAGUUGAGAGGCUAUCUCUGUAAGUGAAAUGUGGUAUAAAUAAAAAGUAAAGGGUUCCUUUUUCGGAAAUUGUAUGUUUUUUCUGUCAUGGUGGUGCUGAUUUUUCUAGCUAGCUAGAGUCCUACAAAAUUGAAUUGUUUUUUCAAGUUUUCUUGCAUUAUAAAAGUACAUUUGCAUUUGCAUUGCAUAUUUGCAUGCACGUCUGUAUAUUUAUUGCCCGAUAAGUCAUGACUAAAAAACUAUAUAUUUAUUUGGUUGAUAAGUCAUAACUAAAAGUUAAGUACUGUUUGUGAUUUGUGGUGAAAGAAAAUACUAUUAAAUAACUGAUAGAUUUGGCUGAUAAAGCUGUAUAUAUGUAUAUUUGUUUGGUUGAUAAGUCAUGACUAAAAGUACUGUAUAUUUGUUUGGUUGAUAAGUCAUGACUAAAAAUACUGUUUAUUGAUUUAUUACGAGAGAAAAAUACUGUUAAAUAACUAACAGAUUUAGCUGAUAAGGGCACUCACGAUGCAGACUCUAUCAUAGAGUCUAAAGUUAUUUAUUAUCUCGAACAAUGUAGACUUGGAGUCUAAAUAAGACUUGGAGUCUUAUUUUUUCUACCUCUUUCUUCAAUAAAUAUGCUGCCACAUCAGCAAAAUACCAUAAAUAAUGUGUAAUUAAAUGUCUUGAACUCUGUGAUAGAGUCUUGCAUUGUGAGUGCCCUAAGCUUAAAUGAAGAGACUGACAUUGACACGUAGCCAAAUAACUGUCGCCGCUUUUUCUCAUUAAAGUGGCAAUGGGUACCCGACAUGAAAUCGGUACCCGACAUGAAAAUCGAUGGGUUUUUUUCUCUAUUAGGGUAAGAAUAUGGAUCAAUUUCGUUAUCCGUGAGUAUUAACGAGGCAAAAGCUAGACCUAGCGAGUUUAUAGACAUAGCUCUGGUGGUACUCAAACCCGCAAAGCCAUGGGUUUUAAACCCGGUUCAUCAUAUCAUGAUAUAAUAAAAUUAUAGUAUAUAAGUACGAAAUACAAGAAAAUAAACAAAAUAAAAAACAUGCAAGCUCCAUAUGUUUUUUAGCGGAAGUUCAUUAUGUGAAAGUUACAGUUAGCUAUAGUGGGCCUUAAUACAUGCACUUGGUCUGUUCGGACUCAAAGAUAUGACGGGUGUUGGCACUUAGCGUUAGCAGACCAUGCCUGAGUGCAUACUGGAGCUAAAAGUUUUUGUCACAACUCGCAACGUCUAUUACGGAGGCAUAGUAACACACAACAUGAAUGUCACAUCGUCAAGUAAUUCAACUUUAAGUAUUUUGGUGUGCUAUAAAGUAGACGUGCUCACUUGACUAGAUGACCAUCUUGUGGCGUGCUAUGGUGGACACGGGCAACCUGUUGAGUAUCCAUGACCCGAUAGACAUCGGUUUAGGCAUAAAAUUAAACCCGUGACGGAUCAUAGAUUUUUUAGUAGACAUAUUUUAUGUUAUGUGCAUGGGUUUAGGAUGACAAAGCCCAAUAGAUUUGUACCCGUUGCCAUCUUUAUUCUCAUGUAUUCUACUGUAAUCUCACCUGUCUAGUACAGCUACACAUGCAGAUUUUUGGUUGGCCUUUGUGUUCUGCUACCAUCAAACUCCAUAGAUGAUCUUGCGUAGUUUUUCUGAACGGCAAAAGUUAUGUGUUUUCAUCUUACAACACACAUGUACACAUCAAAGUCAAAAGCACACGAUGGCACGACAAAGAUUCCUAGUUAGCUAGAAGAAACCCCUGAAGGCUACCUAUGUAAGUACUGGACGAAGUCUGGAACUUCCACAUGGAAGUUCUAUGCACAACUUCAAGAGUCAUCGCCGCUAUUCGAGUCCACAGACGAGGAAGAUGAGGAUGGCGAGUCAGGAGACUGGUACUGCCCUUGAGCCUGUCGCCACGUCUGGUUCAUGAAGCUCUGAGCAUGGAUAGGUUGGGGGCGGCGAGAUGGAUGUGGGGAAUGCUUGUGUCUGUGGGUCAUAUUGAUUAUUUGCAUCAUAACGUCCAUGAUCGUGGGGAGUAGUCUUGAUAAAAUCGUAAGAAGAGCAGAUAACUGCACAUAUAUAGAAGAAACUCAUUUUCAGAUCAGUGCCAAACUACGUUACAGUAAGAUUCAAUAUAAAGAGAAUUUUAUGUUCUUACCGUGCCAUGACGAAAAUAAGCAGUGAUGUCAUAUUGCAGCCAUAUGGCAUAUGACAACACAAAGGCAACAAAGAGCCCUAGAAGGUACAACGGAUUCCUGUAAAGAAAAAGAUAAAUGAACCUGUUAAACAUGCUGACAAUGAAAUCUGCAAUCUGGAAGUGUCACAGUCCUGUAGUCUGGCUUAGCCAAAAAUGGUUACCUAAGAAGAAACAUAAAUUCGUUGUAGCCUAGUAUUGCCAGAAGCAAAAUAGUCCAUGCAGGUGGCAACCAGCUCUUGCUACGCCUAUGUGCUUCCUGGCGUCAGGAAUUCAGAUUGGAAGAAUUCGAUUAGCAAAAUGCAAAAUGAAUUCAGAUAGAAAAUUCAUAAACAUAAUUCAACAAAAUGCAAAUGGUACAGAUGGCCUGACAAAACAAGUAUUCUAAAUAUGGAAAAACAAGCAGGGAUGAAAUCUAGUAUUGGUGUUCAGAAAUCUGUGUGAAACCAAGAAAAUCAGUUCCAUAAGUUGAUUAGCCAACAAAAUUUUGAACAUGGAUCAUAUUUAUGCAAGCACUGUCUCCAAAUAUGAUGAUCAAUUGAUAAGACACUAACAAAAAAUUAUACCUGCAUAGUCAUUGCUUGCGCAACAGAAUACUCUGUCUCUGCUUUGAAUUGCCUCCAGAUGGACUUACACUGCACUGGCGUAAUCAGUGUAUCCUUUGGUGAAACCUGCAAAAAUACAUAAAGCAUUCCAAACUAUUUCUCUGUAGAACAUCCUAAACCAUAAAUAUCCAAGUGUAGCGUAGGCAGCAAAACCUCUUCCCACGUGCUUGAAGCAAGUGGAUCAGAAGCAAAUUCUAUGCUCUUCUUGUGGGAAAGGGGUCCGCCAUCCAAAAGAGCAGUAGUCAGUGCCCGUUCUAUUUUGUCUGGUUUAUCAUCUAACCGUAUAGCUGCCUUUACAGACAUGAGUCUUAAAGCCUGCAGUGCAACAUGAGAUCCAGAUUAUGUUUCUCAUGGAUGAGCAUUACAAAUAAGGCCAGACACACUAGAAGUGUUGUGAUAAUGAUUAGCUGAAAAAUGUCAUGUCUAAAUACCCCUAAGCGUGCUUCUCUAGUGAUUGAACGGAUAUCCUCAUCUCCCAUCCAUGUCCUUGGCAUCAAAUCCCUAUCAUGGCUCAACACAGUGAAAAACCUACAAAUAAUCCAAUCAUAUUAGGUACAAAAUAUAUGAACACUCAUGGUAGUAGGACAUGAAAACUGACAAUGCAUUAUCCCUUUUCCAUUUCCCUUCAAAUAACAAAAAAAGGAGCAAAUUCUACCUUUCUUUCAUGCGCAUCAGAACGUUUCCAGCUUCUUCUCUAGCUUUCAUUUCUACUACGCUUCUUGCAUGUUCCCUCAAGUCCGAGACCAUCUUACUAGAAAUUGUCUGCUCUAGGUCAAACUCAGAUAGGGAAGCUGAAAAUGCAAGAGCAGCAUUUUCAGUCUCACGCCUAUAUAGUCUCCUAAUGCAUGCCCAGGAGUCUCUCUCGCCAGUUUCCAGUAUGGAUUGUACAGGCCCAGCAAUUGCGUCUGACAGCUUCUUCUGCAAUAACAAAAUGGUAAAAGGUCAAAAGAUAUGGAUUGAAUGUUCUGAGUUGACCAUGACAUCUAGAGGUUGUAAAAUCAAGGAAAGUAACCUCAUAGUUAGCUUUCAGUUCUGCCAAUUUUACGUUCCUAAUAGAUUCUACAUGAACUUGUAUAUGUUCUUGCAGUUUAUUCCUAGCUUUUGAAGCAUCCCACUGCACAUGUUUAACUGCUGUAUCUGCAUAAAAAAAGAACUAGGGCUUGAAAUCACUGAAUUGUAGAUUGUCAAAUAUAAGAGAUACAUAAUAUCAUAUAAGCUGUCUGCAUGUGUGUUCCUCACUUCAUUUGCUCAGUUCUGAACAGACCAGACCAAAAAAAAGAGAAACAGAAAAACAAAAACUGCUGUUGUUGCCACUGCCUUUUACACUCUUGUUGUGGCUGCUAAUUAACUUUAUUGUGCUCUUGCUAUCGACCACUGCGGCACUGUUAUGUGGGAAUGUUCUCUUAUGGACCUUCCAUAGGUCACGGUUCAGACCCUCAUCGCCCAUAUAUUUUUUAUGGUUACAACUAGCCGGGUUGGGCACUUCGUAUGCACUUGAUGCAUGGCCUGUGCAUUUGGGGCCCUGUUCCUUCCCCAGAGCUUGCAUACCUGAGAAAGCUACUCUGUAGUAGACGACGAAGCUUGCUACAAAGGGUUUUCUGUAUGUAGUGCUAUUCAUAACAAGCAUCAUCCAUUCCAAGAGGACACAUGAUACGAUAAAGAACUCCAGGAGCCUAGGAUUGCACUAAUGGUAUUGUCCACCAGAAGCUCACAAAAUCUUAUUGUAGCCCUUACGUAUUUUUAUAGGAAACAGGAGGGGAAGCCCCCUACUGGUUAAUAUAUAAUAAUAAUAAUGGAAGAAAAAAGAGGUGCUGUAGCGGUUGUUCACAUACCUCUUAUUCCAGCAUCAAACUCUUCCAUUGAAGCUUGAGAACACUGACGAACUGAUUCUGCAAAUCCCUCUGUGUUCCUUAAUGAUUGUUCCAGAUCACUUUUGAAUUUGUUAAGAGUCACAAGAUGCAGGUGCUCCAUUACUCUCUCGAUAGCAGGAUAUGUGUGCUGCAAAACAUGACAUUCUGAGAUAAAAAGGCCAGCUACAAAGAAGAUGAAACAGUCCACUAUCAAAGAAGCUGUUUUUUUUUUCUCGAACGACGCAGGAGAGCUGCAUGUCAUUUCAUAACUAUCAAAGGAGUUGUAACAACAAACAUCAGAUUUAUAACAUUAUAUCAGCCAGAGCUAUGUAUGUAUCAGCGCAUAGGAACUUAGAAGCGCAUGAUAAAGAUUUAGUUACUUUUUUUUUCUCGAACAACGCAGGAGAGCUGCGUGUCAUUUCAUUAAGAAGACAGAAAAACCGGUAGGCACCGGCCCAAUUACAAAAAAAAAAACUCCACUCACACACACACACACACUUCUAACAGGAGACAAGGCAACAACUAAAACCCCUGGUCAACCUAGACACCACCUAAGCGGCUAGGGACAGCGACCGAGCAAGAAGCUCUUGGAGCUUAGAAGCUCCAGCCAGCCCCCAAAAACUGCAGCCAUCAGCUGUCACCCGGAGCAGGUCUGGAAUGCUAGGCCUAGCAUGCUCGAAAAUACAAGAGUUUCUGUGUUUCCAAGUUUCCCAAGCUACUAGGAUAACUAAAGAAUUGACCCCCUUUUGCAAUUCCUUUGGAACGAGCCAAAGACUUUUCCUCCACCAGCUAGAGAAUUUGGUGUCCGAAGUUGAGGGCACAAGAGCAGGUAAGUGAAGGGCUUGAAGAAUUGAAAACCAUAUCUGCCUGGUGAAAACACACCCCACAAGGAUGUGCUGUAUGGUUUCUUCCUCCACAAAGAUUUAGUUACUAAAAGGACUGAGAUGUUUGCAGUUUGCACUAAGAUGUGGUUGGAACAUAUACUCAAAUAUAUGAAAUAAUAACCGGCAAGAUAAAAUGUCAUGAACCACUGAUUCUUAAGCAAACUUAGUAAUAGUCCUUGAGCUUGAUCAUGGUCCUCCUCAAGCAUAUAACAAAUAAAAUCAUCUAGGAUAAACUACUCAGCAAAUCAGGGUGAUUUUGGUCAUUUGAGUUACUCACAUCUAGCAUUGAAGAUUCUAAUUGUUGCCGCUUAGCAGCUCUUACACCUUCAUCAAAAUACAUGGUUUCCAUGUCAUACCUGCAACAAAAUUAGUACAAUAACUUGUCACGUCGGCUUACAAGCAACAGUCAGGUUAAUUCAUGAGACUCCGCAUUUUGCUUAGUGUUAUCUAGGACUAAAAAUAUUAUCAGUCACCUCAGAUAUCAAACACUAUUCCAAUGAUAGAGAAUUCGCAUGCUGCCAGUAUAGUUUAAAUUAUUUCAAGACGAAACGGGUAGAGCACUUAAUACAGUACCAGUAUUAACGCAUUGGAAUUCAUAUAGGAAUAACAAAAGGAGAAAAAAGAGGGCCAUUAUAAGGAAACCAGUAAUUAGAUCAACUUAUUUUCAGAUACCAACUUAGUUUCCAUAUAGACAGUCCACGGUUACAUGUCAAACAGUAUGAAAAUGCAUCAGCAUUUUGUCUCAAGACUCAAGAGAAUGAACUGAGGCAAGUAGUUAAAUCUAGCAAAUUCAGGUUUUGAACACACAGAUUCAUGGCAUCCACUAUGUUUAUCUUAACUUUCUAUGAGAAAAUCUAUGAUGAUAAUUAGUUAGAUCACCCACUCUGAUAGAUAAGAGUCGAGAAUAGCAUUGAGCCUCGUUCCGAAGCUUGGUGGCAGACCAGAUUUUACAGCUGCAUCUAGCUCCAACCAACCCUGCAGAGCAGAAUAAUUCCCAUUCAGCCAAUCAAACAAAUACUAAUACAGAAUGACAUAAGAACAUUGUCACCUCAUCGGACAAAAAGUAUUUGAGCUUUUCAUUUGCAAUCUCCUCACAUCGAACAGUAGCAACCAUGACCUAGACAACAUACAAGAAAAGUUACAUUUCAAAUAUAGAGAGUCAGCAUGUCCACACACACAAAUUAUUACUAUUUAGUUUUGUAGCAUUGAUGGCAAAUAAUGGCACAAUAACCUUGUGAGCAGGAAGGUUGAGGUCCUUAUUUUCACGUAUUACUUUCCAAAUCUGCAGUGCACUGAGACAGAAGCCUGAAGAAGGUACCACACCUCUUCUAUCAGCUGCAAGACCACCUGGUGCAAUUGAAUGAUAAAACCUCUGCCUUAGUUGUCCAACCUACAAGAAAAAAAAAAGACAUAGUACAGUAAAAGUUCUUCUGUAUCAUUAAAGUGAAAUAAUUAAGGCAUGCAUAAAUCUGAACUCAUAAGUUCCACUGAAGAUGAAAAUUUCAUAACAAAUGCAAUUUCAUCCAAUAGAGAAGAGAAGGGAAUGGGAUACAGUGAACAGAGAAAAAUAGAGUAAUUGUACGACCAGUCUACCUGCUCCUUAAAUAGUUCUUCUUUCUCUUCAUAACUCGAUAGAGCAGUGACCUCCACCUUUAUAUUGCAGAAAAUAUGAGUCAGUUGAUGCAUGAAAGCCUUACUUUAAGAAAACUAAUGCACUGACAUUGAAGAAAUCACUAAGCGCUGCUUCCUUGUAAGCUUCUGGUUUCUGAACAGACUCCCAUAUCUGAUAAAAAAAAAGACAGUGAUUUAUGAGAAUUGCGACACGACAAAGAGGAAAGCAGGUAAGCUGAUAAUAAAGCAUUGGCACCUUCUCAAUAUCCUCCUUGAGAGCUUGUGUCAGGUACUCUAGUGGAGUCUGCAAAUACAGGAUCAAAAUCAGAGCACAAGAAAAGUCAAACAAACUGAAAAUAUCAAACUGCAGAAUAUAGACAAAGAAACUGUACAAACCUUUGUUUUAUCGCGGAUAACAAGUAGCAGUGUCGUCUUGCGAGGGCUGAAUAAACGCAUCAAGACCUUAAUAAAGAGAGAAAUGAUAAUAAGUGACUGAACAUGGGAGAAAAGGAAUACAGUAUCUCACUGUAAGGGAAGUAUCACCUGAAAUACUGUUCUCAAAAGAGGCCUGUUAGCAGCAUGUUCUCGCCCAAUGUCAUGACACCACCUGCAGAUGGCAUAAUACUUAAAUAUCUCCUUGCUCACCAAAAUUUUAACUUUCAGUAAAGCAGUAAUAUGUGAAAUAGAAACUCACAAAUUUAUCAUAACAAUGUCUGAAACUGCAAGAGCAAACAGAGCACUCUGCUUCUCGAAAGCUGUAUCAUCCUGCAAGAAGAAAACACUAGUAUAUAAGCGAUAAAUAACAUUAGGUAAGCCUAAAACACAAGAAAUUCCAGAUUUGUGAAAACUAUAAAUGACUGACUAUGUAUAAUUUAAGUUGAUGCAAGGAGAUCUUUGUUCAACACAGAGAGAACGGGUAUGGUUAAUUAAAACUAAAUUAAUUACACUAAAAAUAAUGGAUGCACAAAUGAGUUGCUUGUAUUCAGGCAGCAGAGUGUAAACUAGUGACUAACGCGAAGGGACAUGUAUAGCUCCAAGCAACCAAAUGCAUUAAUCACCCACAUGGUAUAUUAUUGGCAACAUUACUCACUGUAUAGUAGUCCUGAAUCUUUAAGAUCCAUACAGGAGAUUAACAACGGCAUCAAUGGUGCAUGUGAAUCAAUCCAAGUACUAAUAAUUACUAAACACAGCCAAAUUCUUCUUGGCAGGUUAAAUGCCAUAGUACAUAGCAAAUCAGGUACUUGUAAAUUGUAAUUUGGCAACCCGUCAGCACAUAAUGAGUUAUGGUAAGGCUUAAGGCACAACGCACAGAGAACACAAGAACAUGCUAUAGGGGGAGGAGGAGGAGGAGGACCAGAACAGUCAAUUAGUAAUGUCGAACAUGAAAAACACACUUUGAUAAGGAAGAAGAACACUGUUCGGGAACAUUUAAUAAGUUGAGAAACGGCUGCAAGUAGAACUUUCACCUGCCCUCGCUCCCUCCCGUCGGUCCCCUCGAGGUCCAGCACAACAGUGAAGGGCUCGAUCCCAACAGCCUUGGCGAUCCAAAUGCCCUUGGUGGUCUGGUGCCUGCAGGUGUGGAACAAAACGAUCAGAGCACACGUCCCACCACAGAUGUAGAUGAUGUUACAACUUACAAGCAAUGCUUCUGCUGGUGCUCGCGUAGUUUACCUUCCUUUCAAGGCAUCCAUUUCCCUGAAGCUUGUCCCGAAGACGUGGUUGAGCAAGGUGCUUUUCCCUGGCCGGUGUACAAAGCAGCAGCAGCAGCAGCAGCCGUUAGAGACGAGCCCCGAAUCCAAUCCAAUUACCAGGACAAAAUCGCUAAAUGAUGGUUGAUGGAAUUGAAAUUGAAGCCUAGCAGAGCGCCAGAGCUCGACGAUCAUUACAAUACACAUGGACGGGGAACCAAUCAACUGUGCAGUAAUAAUGUAGUACUAAUAUAUUUAUUUAGACGCAAAUUGGCAACGGCCUGUAAUUCUGGGGGGAAAGAUUGGCCACGCCACGCCACGACUAUACGAGGAUGGAUCAUUCUCGAUUCCUUACCGAUCGAUCAGAUCACCAUGAUCAGCUGACUAACAAAGACAGGAGACUUUUACCCGGGAGAUAACGGAAUGUCUGAAACUCUGAAUCCGUUCACUACGCACGCCGACUCUGCACAAAACCCAGUGCACGAGGAGGACGCCGCAGCACCUACCAGAAGCAGAGGGGAAGGGGGGAGGAAGGGUGACGCGGCUGACGUAUACGCACGUACCGCUGCCCUGGGGCCCGAGGAUAGAGACGACGGCGUAGGAGAGGCCGCGCCCCUGGAGCCCCGCGGCGGCGGCGAACCGCUCCGUCGCCGCCGCGUCCAUCUCGCCGUCCGCGCCCACCACCUGCGCCGCGUGGCACUCCCCGCCGCCGGCUCCCUCGACGCCCCCCGCCGCCGCCGCGGCCAUCGAUCCUCCCCACUCGGUCGCCGCCGGAGAACCGAACGAAGCAACCCACGAGUUGCUUGCAGCAGAGCACAGCUGAGAGGGGACGCGCAGGCAGGCAGGCAGGCAGGCAGACAGGUGUCGCGCUGCGCCGCUGUAGUGGGGUUUAUACGUGGGUUUACCGAAGCAAUAGGAAUAGAAAAACGGCGGAUGGAUUGCGACGGAAGGGUUGGAGCCCAUCCAGGGGCUUCCAAGCCAUACGUGGCUACAACAGCAAGACGAAUCCGUGACUCUAAAAAAAAAAAACAAAUAACAACGACCCGAAUCCGAAUACCAAUAGCCCUUUUAUCGAGCGAUUAUUACUCUAGUUAAAUCUUAAGGAUUGUAUACAUCCACGUUUGAGCAAAUUAGGCAGAUCACUCAUGGUUUACAGUCAUAUAGUCUUCGAGCAUAUUCGCUUGUCUGAAAAGUUAUUGUUGAAAAUAUUAUUCGCUGAUUUGUUACAAGAGAAAAACACCGUUGAAUGACUGGUAGAUUCGAGCUCAAAUGAACUCGCUCUUCAUCGUAUGUCCUGCACAAGUAUACAUUGAUCCAUGCAAGCAAAGAGCCCGAACUGAGCAGAUAGCUAAAUAUGAUUUUUCUUAGAAUAUAUGGAUCCACUCAGCUAAAACAAAGAAGAUAAAAACAACCAAACAUCUAAAAAGUACUCCCUCCAUCCCAAAUUGUAAGUCAUUCCAAAAAUCUUAGAGAGUCAAAGUAUUUUUACGUUUGACAAAAAUUAUAGAGAAAAAUACUAAGAUUUGUAACGUAAAGUGAGUAUACUAUGAAAAUAUAAUUAUGAAAGAAUCUAAUAAUACUUAGUUAGUAUCAUAAUUAUUAUUAUUUUAUAAUAUAAAUUUAGUCAAACUUAGAAAAGUUUAACUCUCUAAAAUUUUUAGAAUGACUUACAAUUUAGGAUGGAGGGAGUAUAUCCUAUUAUCCUCACUCCAUUCCAGAAGCAAAGAGCCCAAUAAUGAAAGGUUGUUUGGUUCACAUACUACACCGGUCACUUUUGUAGAAUAUGGCCACCGCACCCUGUGGCAUAAAUUUCUACUACUCCACAUCUUAAAGUGGAACCAAACAACUUUUUGGCGCGUUGCAGGUUAAGCAGGCGAGGUGUGGCGGCGAGCUAAACAUCCCCUCGAUCUUUCUCCUCUUCCCUCCAAUCAUGAUAAACAUCGGAGGCCUCGUUUGGAUCCUUGGAAGAAUUUAUUUUAAUAAUUACAAUUUAGGCACAGUUUAAUUAAGCUAAUAUAGUUGUAUAUAGGAAUAUAUUUGUAUACUACUAUUAGCCAUACAAGUGGGAUAUACUUAUAUGUUACAUUUAUAAAGUGAGUUGAAAAAACAUGUUAUAAGUUGUAGAGUAGAAACAUGACACGGUGAUCUGUAGAAUCAAUUUUCAUCUCUCAUCUUAUGAAUACGUGAACUUGAGAAAGUUAUUGAAUGUUAAAUUACAAGCCAAAUAAGAUAAUUUAUUAAGUAGAUUUUAAUUCCUCUAAAAAUAUCCGCGUUUGAUAGGUUUUUUUUAGAAGCAACAAACAUCAUAGUUUUAUUUUAGUGGAAACAGACAUCAUAGUUGAAAUCGUGCCUUUGGUAUUGUCGUAAAGAUACGAGGGCCCAUUUCUUAAAAAAAGAAAAAGAAAAAAAAAGAAAUAGCAAAGCCUUCGGACCAUUAAGGGCCAACUCAAUGUUGGGCCGCAUUCUUUUCCUUAGGCCCGACCGCAGGAGGCCUUGUCCGAUACUACUGUCACAAUAGAUAAUGUCUUGCGCUGGUCAAACUUUUCAAUUUUAAUUAAAUUUAUAGAAAAUACUUACAGCAUAUCGCAAGAUUUAACAAUGAAAAAUCAUGAACACAAGAUCCUUACCCAAUUAAAGAUGCCACAUACCGCAGUUACAAUCUCUUAACAUCAUAAAGUUCUACAAGGCAGAGCCUCUGCAAGGAUGAUAAACAAAGCAUAUAAGUUUAGUAAUUUCUGAAGCCAAUUGUCAUUUCCACACAGCACACAUUCUCAAAGAUUGUUUUCCCGUACAUAAAUUAGAAUGGGUUUUGCUACGGUACACCCAAAUAACUGUGAACCAUAGAUCUGGAUAACAAUAAUCACAUAUUACCUCCUAAAAGGUAAUAGAAUAAAUAAUUUUAUUUAUUUUGAGAAAUAGGAAAGCAAGUAAUAUUUUGAGUGAAAUAUCUAUCAAUUAGAUCUAACAUGCAUGCAACAGCUUGAGGCAUGCAUUUGUAUGGAUGGUUCUUAGCAUGACAUGUAAUUUAUUUUAUGUCAACGUUAGCUAUACCUAUACGUGACUUAUAUUUUUCUCUAAUCAUGACAAAAUUAUAGGUGUGCUUUAUUAAUUAUUUACUUAAAAGUUGGAUCAUCAACGUGUUGGUAACGAGAGUAGUCUUGAAUGUGUCCAUAUUUAAAUUAUUGAUAAUGAGAACACCGUACCAGCUGCCUUGAACGUGUUGGUAUUUAAAUUAUUUAUUUAUUUAUAUUCAUGAUCCUAACAUUAGUAUUUUUGGAAUUUUGAAAAUGUAUGUUUUUUUGGUAACAACAAGUUCUAUUGUGUCAUCGGAACAUAACUUUUCAUGUCUCACGUGUCCUACAUGGUGUUGGUGUGCAAAGCAGCUACUACAUCCGUACAGGAGUAUAUGGCAACAAACAAGCUUUUGGCGUUGAUUUAGUUGUUGCCUUUUCUUUUUAUUUUUCUAUAUAUUUUAAUUAAUUAAUAAUUACUUAAUUAUUGCAUGUAUUUUUAAAAAAUCAAGGGUUGAGAUUUAUUUGAGAUCUUACCUCCUAUAAGAUAAUAGGUGUACCAAAACAAGUCACGUAUAAAUUAUAGGUGUGCUUUAUUAAUAUUUUUUCUCUAAUCCUAAUAUCAACCGUUGGAUCUGAGUGAGUAAGAGAAAGUUGAUGCUAGAGUAGAUCUCAUCGUUUUUGUUUUUAAGGUGGGCUGUUUCUAGAUGUAUUUUUUAGGUGCAUUUAGGAGAGUUCAUGACUAUGGUGGAUAUAAUUUUGACGUGGCUUUAGAAAAGUUUAUAUCGAUGUAUUAUAUGUAGUAGAGAUAGAGUUAGAGAUUACAAUAUAUUUUGUUUCUAUAAUUUACCUCUUUGACGAGGCAAUACUGUUAUUCAUAAACAUUCUUUAGAUAGUUUGGUGAAGCGCCCCUGGUAAACCAGGAACUCAAAUGUGAUACAAUACUAGUCCCAGGAGGCUAGUAACACAUUUAUUACAUCAGAUAAGUUUCAGCGCAGUAGUCUUGGAAAGCGUGUACAAGGAAGGCACGCUAUAAUAAUAAGACACCAAAAUACAACACCGGUCCAAAGGACCCAGAAACAAACGAUAUCGCCAUCGAACAUCUAACGAGUCCCAAUACCACAGGCUUAGUUGGGUGCAGACACGACCUUACUCGAACGCGACUUCGGCAUCGAAGUCCGGAUCUUCCUCUGUUUAAUAAAGCAAGGGUGAGUACAAAGCACUCAGCAAAUCCAACGUUACCCUACGGAAGAGGUUAACAAUAUAUAUGCAUAUGGAUAAAUCAAGGAUGAGGCUUAGUUUUAUUUGCAUAAAGCUAUCUUUUUACACAUGCAAGAUUUUAUUUCACAAAUACUGUUGUAAAAGACCUCUUUUUCCACAUAUGAUAGUAUUUCUAAAAAUGGGGGUUUGAUCACAAUUUUAAGUGUUGUUGAACCCUUGUUCCCACAACACAAUGGCAGUCAACCAUUUAUUUCCAAAAUCACACUCACUCUCAUGUUUUCACUCAUCCCAUCCCAUCUAGUUGUUGAAACCAAACCAUAACCCGUCCGAGACCGCGGACACGGCUAUCCAGAUAGAUUUACACUCUGCAGAGGUUGUACACUUUUCCCACAAGUAGGAUACCAUAACUUACACCGUCGUGCAAGCACAGAUCCAUCAAAGUCAUUACCCUCCGUAGCUAAGUAAUGGCGCUCACCACGGGAACACUAAGGCCACAUCUCAUGAUACCACAAUAAUUCACAAAGCUCUUUUCAUAUAUUUCCACAAUUUCACAUACAUCACUUAGUGUCCCGUUGCACACCUGCCUCCAGGUGAUUGCCAUACUAACUAGAGGGAUUUAGACUAAGUCUUUCCCAUGCAAGGCGAGUGGUUGUACGAUAAAUGAGUUAGGCAAGAUGAAUCAUCAACUCAGUCCUUAAUCGAGACAAGGCGGAUAUCUUCUCGCUUAACCCCGCAAGGUAUAAGCCACAACACCAGGGCAUCCUCAAAGAGAUCCCAUCCGCCCCAUCUUCAUAGUAAUCACAUCUAUAACUUGUUCAUUAACCCUUUCACAAUACCCACAAUUUAUUUUCACCACUCACACCUUUUACUUUUAAAAUCAUUAUAUUUGAGAAAAUACAGUGAUGAUUAUCCAGAUGAGUAACAAGUUCUAAGCAUACUAAAUAAUAACAUUUCUGUCAUAGUAUAUUAUUUGUUCCUAGGUUCGAACAAGACAAUUACCGGGCAAUAUCAAUUCAAGGAUGGCUAUUCAAUAGGUUUUAACUAAGCAGCGAAAAUACUUCGUACAUAUAUCGUACAUGCAAUAUUUAAAACGGCUUCUACGGGUUGUGUUUGAAAAUAGGAUCAAUAUGCAUCAAAGGGGAUCGGUUGGACUUGCCUCCGUCGGCGUCCUCGGCAAACUCCUGCUGACAGUCCGGGUCCUCGGCGUCAAACUCGCGGUACUCGUUUCCAACGUUCUCGUUUUCCGGCUCGUUCACUCCGUCAGCUAAAAUACGCGACGAACGACACAGACAACAGACACAGAUAAAUAAUCACAUAAAUUUAAAUGAGCUCUAAAAAUCAUGAAAUUAAUAUGGAAGGUAGAUCAUGAUUUUAGAUGAAUUUAGGAAAAAGAAUUAUUAAAAUCAGAGUUAGCAUGUGGCAUUUGUGAAAUGGCCGGAAUUUAAUCAUGAAAAAGGCUAACGAUGAUUAAGGAAUGGAUGAUUCACGUGGGCAUUUGUUUGGCUGGUAAUGCAUGUUGCAUGCAUGCAUGUACUAUUUGGAGUUAAUGCUUGGCCCACACAUGCAUGGUUAGAGAGAAAUUAGCAGAAGGUCAUUAGAACUCUUCUGUAUGUCAUGGUUCUAUUCGUGGAGUUCUUGGCAGUGAAUCGGUACAGACAAAUACAUGGAAAAAUACAGAAAAAUACUAUAGAAAGACAGAGAAGAACAAGGAGAUGCUCAUGAGCUGCUCACCUCGUCUUGCGACGACAGUCGAGCUCGGCUUGUGCGUAUGGCCGUAUACGGUAUACGCGAAGUGAGAGCGAGUGAGCGAGUGAGUGAACGUGUUUCUCGGGUGGUGAGAGUGAGCACCCGAGGCUGGCUUUUUAUAGGCCAAAGCGCUCAGCUGCGUGCCAUUAAAAAUGCAACUGUAGCGCAUGGUCGGUGCCUAAUUUCAUGCGAAGGACGAUGUCCCAUUUGCAAUCACGUUGCAUGCAAAUGGACGGUGCCUAAUCACCGUGUCCUUGCAUGCAGGUGCAUGCAAAUGGUCGGUGGCAUGUCCUGCAUGCAUGCAUGAGAUAUAUAUUCGUGUAGGUGCACUGCUAUGUUUUCUCGCAUGUAAGCUUGCUGGUACUUGCUAUUAUUUGUGCGCGAAAAAUAUAAAUGGUGCCUAGUUGUACGCUGCGACUUGCUAUCUUUUUGUACAGCAAAAGAGGCGCGGGAAAAGGCAAGAGGUGGGGCCCGCAUGCCGCGGUGCGCGCGCGAGCGAGUGCGCUCGGCGAGGGGGCCGGGCGUGAGUGCGCUGCGGCGCUGAUGGUGGUGGGGUCGGCGCACGCGCCGUUGCCGGGUAUCGGGCAGAGCGAGCGAGCAAGAGGGAUAAGUAGCGGACAUAUGAUGCUCAUGCCAUGCGGUGCAGGUUAUAUUUAAAGAUGGAUAAUUAGAAUGGAUGGAAAAAGAAUUAGAUGGAGAUACUAUAGAGCUCAAAUGAUUUAUAGUUUUUGAAAUAUAUUUUGAAAAUAAUUUUUUUAAGGCGAGUGAUUUUUGAAUGUGAAUUUUUGGGAUGUUACAAACCUACCCCACUUAAAAGGAAUCUCGUCCUCGAGAUUUGGCUGGGUUCUAAACAGGUGAGGAAACUCUUUUCUCAGGGCAUCUUCUCUUUCCCAUGUUGCUUCCGCUUCAGUGUGUCUACUCCAUUGAACACGACAAAUUCGGACUGUUGUCGUUCGAGUUUGCUUGGUGACUGUAUCUAGGAUUUUUAUUGGCACUUCUUGAUAUCUUAGGUCAUCUUGUAAAUCAACUGUAUCUGGCGAUAUUUGUUCCUCUGGUACUUUGAGACAUUUCUUCAAUUGGGAGACAUGAAACACAUUGUGUAUAUCUGACAUUUCUUCAGGUAGCCGAAUACGAUAGGCUACAGCUCCAAUCCUCUGUAAUACUUGAUAUGGUCCAAUAUACUGAGGUGCUAGCUUGCCUCUGACUUGGAACCUUCGAGUUCCUCGAAUAGGAGAGACUUUGACAUACACAAAAUCUCCAACUGCAAAACUUAACUCCCGCCUUCUUUUAUCAGAAUAGCUCUUUUGACGUGAUUGUGCCUCUUUCAAUUUUUCUCUGAUUUCAGCUACACGAUCUUCUGCUUCUUUUAUAAGGGCUGGUCCAAGCAAGGUUCGUUCUCCAACUUCUGACCACAUCAAUGGGGUUCUACAUUUUCUUCCAUACAGGGCCUCAAAAGGUGACAUGCCCAAACUAGCUUGGUAACUAUUAUUAUAGGAGAACUCUGCAUAAGUUAGGCUUUUCUCCCAAUCUUUACCAUAUGUGAGCACACAUGCUCUUAGCAUAUCUUCCAUAAUCUAAUUUAUUCUUUCAGUCUGACCAUCUGUUUGAGGAUGAUAAGCUGAGCUAAAAUCUAGCUUGGUUCCCAUAGCUUCAUGCAAACUUUUCCAGAACUUAGAGGUAAAUUGGGUACCUCGGUCAGAUACAAUCCUACUUGGCACACCAUGCAAUUUGACUAUGUUAUCCACAUAUAGCUGGGCUAACUUGUCUCCACUAUAUUUGGUGCGUACAGGUAUGAAGUGAGCAACCUUGGUAAGGCGGUCCACUAUUACCCAUAUUGAAUCAUUUCCUUUCAGAGUUUUGGGUAAUCCAUUCACAAAAUCCAUGCCUAUCUCAUCCCAUUUCCAAACAGGAAUAGGCAAUGGCUGGAGCAAGCCUGCUGGUUUCUGAUGCUCUGCUUUAACCCUUUGGCAUACAUCACAUUGUGCAACAAAUCGUGCCACAUCAGCUUUCAUUCCAUUCCACCAAUAUCUUUCUUUUAAGUCCAUGUACAUCUUGGUGGCACCAGGGUGGAUAGAAUAAGCUGAGUUAUGGGCUUCAUCAAGGAUUAAUUCUUGAAACUUUCCCUCCUUGGGCACACAAAUCUUGUUUUUAUACCACAAUACUCCUUUGUUAUCCACUCUAAAGUAUGGAGCUUUAUUUUCUCCAGUUUGCUCACGAAUCUUCAUCAGAUCCUUAUCCUUAUGUUGUGUCUGUUUGAUUUCUUCCACAAGAGUUGGCUGCACCAUCAAACUGCCAUUUUGAGGUUGACGUACUAUAUGCAUGUUCAAUUGUGCUAUCUCUUCUUGUAGGUGAGUGUUCUUAGGCACCAACUGCUGACCAUAUGACCUUCUGCUUAGGGCAUCUGCUACAACAUUGGCCUUUCCUGGGUGGUAAUGAAUCUCAAGGUUGUAGUCCUUGAUUAAUUCCAACCAUCUUCUUUGCCUUAGGUUCAAGUCUGACUGUGUGAAGAUGUACUUCAAACUCUUGUGAUCAGUGUAGAUUUCACACUUGUUUCCAAUGAGGUAGUAUCUCCAAAUCUUGAGAGCAUGUACUAUCGCUGCUAACUCCAAAUCAUGGGUAGGGUAAUUUUGCUCAUGAGGUCUAAGCUGACGGGAUGCAUAAGCAACCACUUUUCCUCCUUGCAUGAGAACACAUCCUAAACCUUGUCUUGAGGCAUCACAGUAUAUGAUGAAAUCUUGGUGAAUGUCUGGCAAAGUUAACACUGGUGCUGUUGUCAGUCUCUUCUUCAACUCUUGGAAACUCUUCUCACAUGAUUCAGUCCAAGUGAAUUUCUUAUCCUUCCUAAGAAGCUCUGUCAUGGGUCUGGCUAUCUUGGAAAAUCCUUCUAUAAACCUUCGAUAAUAUCCAGCUAAUCUAAGAAAACUUCUAACCUCACUCACAUUGGUGGGUUGCUGCCAAUGGGAGACAGCUUCUACUUUCUCAGGGUCAACUGUAACUCCUUCAGCUAUCAAGAUAUGGCCUAGAAAUGCAACCUUCUCAAGCCAAAAUUCACACUUGCUGAAUUUAGCAUACAACUUGUGUCCUCUUAGCUUUUCCAACACUACUCUCAAGUGUUGCCCAUGUUCUUCAGCACUCUUAGAGUAGAUAAGUAUGUCAUCAAUGAAGACUACAACAAACUUAUCUAACUCUUCCAUGAAUACCUUAUUCAUGAGGUUCAUGAAAUAGGCAGGGGCAUUGGUUAACCCAAAAGACAUCACUGUAAACUCAUAUUGUCCAUAUCUGGUUACAAAGGCUGUCUUGGGGACAUCACUAUUCUUGAUCUUGAGCUGGUGAUAAUCUGAUCUCAAAUCAAUCUUGGAGAAAUACUUGGCCCCUUUAAGCUGAUCAAAAAGGUCAUCUAUCCUUGGCAGGGGAUACUUAUUCUUGAUGGUGACUUCAUUCAGGGACCUAUAAUCCACACACAUCCUUAUACUUCCAUCUUUCUUCUUCACAAACAAGACUGGGGCUCCCCAUGGUGAAGAACUAGGUCUAAUAUAACCUUUCUGCUGUAAUUCUCUUAGCUGCUCUUUCAGUUCAGCUAACUCUGCCGGAGCCAUUCUGUAAGGUCUCUUGGCUAUGGGGGCAGUCCCGGGGAUAAGAUCAAUGAUGAACUCUAUAUCCCUGUCUGGUGGCAUUCCAGGUAGUUCCUCAGAGAAUACAUCAGGGUAUUCUUGCACUAUUGGUACUUCCUCUAUGGUCCUUGCAUCCAAGUUGAAGACCAUUGGAUUAACUUUAGACCCUUGGGUUUGGCAUUUCACUUUAAUCCCUUCAUGGUUAACUAAUGAUACUUCCUUGGUUGCACAACUAAUAAUUCUAUUAUGUCUGGUUAACCAAUCCAUUCCAAGGAUAACAUCUAUUCCUUUGGACUUGAGCACUACUAAUUCUGCUAAGAAAACUACCCCACUUAGAAUGAUCUUUACAUUCGAACAACCUAGAUGACAUUUGAUGUCAGACCCAGGUGUUCGGGUUAUUAGGGGUAACUUUAGUAGUACUGUGGGUAUUUGAUGCUUCUCAACAAAACUUGAUGAUAUGAAUGAAUGUGAUGCUCCAGAAUCAAAUAAUACUGUUGCAAGUACUGAAUCGACUAAGAACUCACCAAGUACCACUCCUGAAGCAGUCUGAGCAUCCUGAGCAUGAGUAUGGUUGACACGGGCUCUACCAUAGGAUUGUUGAGGUUGCUUCAUCAUCUGGCUAUUAUUGUUGGUGUUGCUAUUGUUGCGAGAGAAACCACGGUUGACUCCAGACACUGUAGGUCUUGGUCCAUUAACGGUGUGGGACUGAGUGGAUACUGCUGGUGGGUUGUUCUUGUAGGGACAGUUGGCGAUGUAGUGUCCAGUCUCAUGGCAAUUAAAGCAAGUCCUAACAUUGUUUGUGACUUGACCAGUGCUGUUCUGUUGAGUCUUGCCAUAAGUUUGAUUCUGAUAAGUUGUCUUGGGCUGAUAUGAUGACUGCAUUUGGUUAUUGGAGACACUAGCAGGAGAGCGAAACUGCAUUGGGGCUUGAGUCCGCUGGCUUGGUUGGCUAAAGGUUUUCAGCCUCUGGGAUCUAGCACCAUCUUGAACCUUGCGCUCUAGAAACUUGCGCUUGUUCUCUUUCCUUUCUUCAGUCUUGGCCACAUCAGUCAGAAUGGUCCUGUUCAUCAAGGUGUUGAAGUCUGGAUAGAUUUGUGGGGUCAUGAGGGUUCUAAGCUCACAGGUCAAUCCUUCUAUGAACUUUGUCUGCUUCUUAGCUUCAGUGUUGACCAAUUCUGGGGCAUAGCGAGACAACUCAGUGAAUUGGAAGAUGUAUUCACUCAGAGUUUUAUUUCCUUGCUUCAAGUUGCGAAAUUCAUCAGCCUUCGGCUUCAUGAUCCCAUCUGGAAUGUGGUACCGGCGAAAUUCAUCCACAAAUUCCUCCCAUGUGAUCGUGUUGGCAUUGUCCACAGCUCCACUAUAGGCUUCCCACCAAGAAAGGGCAAUUCCUGUCAGCUGAUGAGAUGCUAGCAGAACUCUAUCUCUUCCAUCACAGUGGAUUGUGUCCAACUUUCUUUCAAUCACCUUAAGCCAAUCAUCUGCUUCCAUGGGGUUGUCAGAUCCAGUAAAGGUGGGUGGCUUAAGCCUCAUGAACUCAGUCAUCUUGUCUUGGACUCCGGCUCCACGGUUGUUCCUAGGGCGGUUCAUGCCUUGAGCCAAGGUCUCCAGAAGGCGAGUCUGAGUUGCCAUGACUUGUACUAAGUCAAUUACUGGAGGAGGGGGCAAGUCAUCUCCUUCAUUAUGGUUCCUAGUCUGACUCACUUCAUCUUCAUGAAUACCGUCAACAUUUGCAUUGGCUUGACUUCCAUUUGGAUUUUGGCUUUGCCUACUAGCUGCACGACCACUUGGUUGAGAGCGGGUAGCUGGUUUGGGAGGCAUAUGUUGGUUAAGAUGAGAAAGCAUUAGAUAAGGGUUAGAUCUAUUGAGUGAUGUUGUUUUUUUGUUAAGGCGUUAUAUUUUAAAAAGGUGCAAGUUUUAAGACUUGCUAUCCCGUAAGGGAACAACAUAGAGCACUCAAUUAUUUAGCACAACCAACAAGCACAAAUAUAUAUUUUGAAUAAGAGGGCGGUUUACAACAUAGUAAUGGAGGAAAUAAGCAUACUACAAUACGAUUCGUCUACUUUGGGGGUUGAACAAAAGUGAAGUAAACUUCACUUCCCCAAGACAUAAGGAGGAACUAGGUGCUAUUAUUCUUCAACUUCUUCGGACAGAACGGCUUCAUUCCCUUGGUGUUGAGGUGGAUCAUGCUUCCGGCAUUUGUGGUUCUUCUUUUGGACUAAGAGGUGGGUCACUGUCUUCUUUUGGUGCUGCCUGGGUGAGGAGGAGAAAUCCUUCUUCCUUAGUGGACUCCAACUCUAAAGCUUCAUGAGAGGCUUCUGUGGGUGGGGGAGCUGAUGGCCCUUCUAUGUCCAUCUUUCUUUUGGUUUUUAGGGACAUGAUUGGGAUACCUUUUAGGACUAUGGGCUCUUGGUCUUCCUCUGCUAACAUCCUUCUUUUGAUCCUGGUGAUAAGGUAGGCAUCCUUCAACUCCUGAGCAUGGCGGUCUUUAGCUGCCUUCAAGACUUCAGCAAUGGCGGUUUCACGACUCUCGGCUGCAGCUGCUUGGGCCUGAGCUUCUGCAAGCUGCACAUGGAGCUUUCUAACUAUGAUCUCGGCUUCCUGCGCACGAUGGAUGCACUUCCUUAACUCUGAGGCCUGCUCAUCAUAUUGCUUAUCUAGAGCAAGAAGGUACGUGGUCAUGAAUACCACAGUUGGGUCAUCUUCAAGUGAGUAACGUCCUUGCAAGAGCUCCAUGCGGGUCCUCCAAACUGGUCGGUCUUUUUCAUCGGGUGGAAAGAACCUCAUGGGUGUACGGGUGAUGGGCUUCUCGUAGAUCUGGCAUAGGUACCUCAAGGCUUUGCUGGCGACGGCUUGAUAUGUAUCUGCAAACCGAAAUCCGGUCGCAGUCAUGCUCCAAGCUUCAGCUAUAUUAGGGAAGUCCUCACUUUUCCCAAUAUAGACGGUAACUUCACACCGCUCAGUCUCAUGCUCUUCAUAUUCUCUGCCUUCAUAUUCUGGGCGAUCCUUGAUUCCAAGUUUCUGCAUGGUAGCAUACAAGAGCUUGGGAAAGCCUUCUACACUUAGACAGUAACUGCUGGUCCAAACUCCUUCUGCCAUCUAAGAGACAUAGAUGAGAGUAAAUAUUUUAUUCAAAUAGAGGGAAGAGGGUAAGAACUUUUGUAAAAUACGUUUAUUUAGUAAAAUACUGGUCCAGAAAAGCCUAAGGUCGCGUCCUAAAGCCAACUACGGCUCUGAUACCACCUGAAGCGCCCCUGGUAAACCAGGAACUCAAAUGUGAUACAAUACUAGUCCCAGGAGGCUAGUAACACAUUUAUUACAUCAGAUAAGUUUCAGCGCAGUAGUCUUGGAAAGCGUGGGCAAGGAAGGCACGCUAUAAUAAUAAGACACCAAAAUACAACACCGGUCCAAAGGACCCAGAAACAAACGAUAUCGCCAUCGAACAUCUGACGAGUCCCAAUGCCACAGGCUUAGUUGGGUGCAGACACGACCUUACUCGAACGCCACUUCGGGAUCGAAGUCCGGAUCUUUCUGUGUUUAAUAAAGCAAGGGUGAGUACAAAGUACUCAGCAAAUCCAACCUUACCCUACGGAAGGGGUUAACAAUAUAUAUGCAUAUGGAUAAAUCAAGGAUGAGACUUAGUUUUAUUUGCAUAAAAGCUAUCUUUUUACACAUGCAAGGUUUCAUUUCACAAAUACUGUUGUAAAAGACCUCUUUUUCCAUAUAUGAUAGUAUUUCUAAAAAUGGGGGUUUGAUCACAAUUUUAAGUGUUGUUGAACCCUUGUUCCCACAACACAAUGCAGUCAACCAUUUAUUUCCAAAAUCACACUCACUCUCAUGUUUUCACUCAUCCCAUCCCAUCUAGUUGUUGAAACCAAACCAUAACCCGUCCGAGACCGCGGACACGGCUAUCCAGAUAGAUUUACACUCUGCAGAGGUUGUACACUUUUCCCACAAGUAGGAUACCAUAACUUACACCGUCGUGCAAGCAUCAAAGUCAUUACCCUCCGUAGCUAAGUAAUGGCGCUCACCACGGGAACACUAAGGCCACAUCUCAUGAUACCACAAUAAUUCACAAAGCUCUUUUCAUAUAUUUCCACAAUUUCACAUACAUCACUUAGUGUCCCGUUGCACACCUGCCUCCAGGUGAUUGCCAUACUAACUAGAGGGAUUUAGACUAAGCCUUUCCCAUGCAAGGCGAGUGGUUGUACGAUAAUUGAGUUAGGCAAGAUGAAUCAUCAACUCAGUCCUUAAUCGAGACAAGGCGGAUAUCUUCUCGCUUAACCCCGCAAGGUAUAAGCCACAACACCAGGGCAUCCUCAAAAGAGAUCCCAUCCGCCCCAUCUUCAUAGUAAUCACAUCUAUAACUUGUUCAUUAACCCUUUCACAAUACCCACAGUUUAUUUUCACCACUCACACCUUUUACUUUUAAAAUCAUUAUAUUUGAGAAAAUACAGUGAUGAUUAUCCAGAUGAGUAACAAGUUCUAAGCAUACUAAAUAAUAACAUUUCUGUCAUAGUAUAUUAUUUGUCGAGGGUAUCGGUAAGGGGUACCCUCAGCAAUGCACAUUAUGAGAUUGCCCGUACGAAGGUCGAGACCCUUAAUUCGACGCUCUAAUCUUACGUAUGCGCCGCCAUCGACAGUCGCAGCCUCGAAGACGGAAAUAGUCUCGAGCGAAUCGGUUCAGGACUCGAACGACGACUGCUGUCGAUGACGGGAGCGGGCUCGAGCGAACCAAGAGCUGUCGGGCGCGAGGACACUGUCCGCCGCCCGACGCGCGCACGCGAGCCGGAGCAUUAAAUGCACCUGACGCUUCCCCACCUAACACACAGGUCAUGGGAGGCGUGAUAGGGAGCAAGCUUCUGUCCCAUCGUUCUUUUUGCAGCCUUCCCACCGAACGACCCAGGGCGCGUCAGGACGCGGGAAACAAGGAUGGAACGUCUAAUCGGGACCCCCUCGAGACGCCCAAGGUCAGCGCUCCAGAUAUCAGAAUAUUACGCGGCGCCCGAUCCUCGACCGAACAAGGUCCCUUCCCAGGGACAAGUCGGGCGUCGACUGACAACACCACAGCUGCUCCGCCGGAUCCGCCACCAUACCAUACGAGCAUGCGACCUCAGAACCAGCACAAGGCGGCUGGCAGGGCAGCUCGCAGGAGCACGCGUAAUCAUCACCAAGCUAUCAAGAUGGGACGGCUCGAGGCCAUGCCGUACGGAAGCCUCGAGUAGGUCAGCGCUCCAUGCGGCUAUCGAUCCCUACUCUAACAUCUACGCAUGUACCCUGUGUCUCUCCUUGGAGCUAUAAAAGGAGGGACUCAGGAAUAGAAGAGGGACACCUCAACACAAGAACACACACACACAUACGUAGUAGAGCUACACACUUCAUACCACGCUUGUAUUCGCCCCUGUACAAGCACUUAGGUGCAAGAUAAUACAAACUCCCUCCCCCCGCUGGACGUAGGGCCUUCUCUUGCCCGAACCAGGAUAAAUUUCAGUGUCUUCUUGCAUCACCAUCCGGAAAGGGGAGCACGCAUACAAAUUUACUCGUUGGUGUGACCCCCCGGGGGAAAAAACACCGAUAGUUGGCGCGCCAGGUAGGGGUCCUGCGUGUUUUUCACCAAUUUCCCAUCACUUUCCGGAUGGCUACUCCUGCCUCGCCGCUUCCGCGCUCCACGGUGAUUUGGUUUGGGAGUCUCGAGUUCAUGUCUACGGGCUCCGGCUACGACAUGAUCUUGCUCUCAGUCAAAGGACCAGGAGGAGUCCGCGUUACGCCAGCACGGUUGAAGGCUCCAAGACGCCCUCACCACCACGCCUCCCCGCCUAAGAAGAGGCGCGGGCAGCACCACCGCGGCCCCUCUGCUUCAGCGCGACCAACAACUCGCGCGAGGCAGGAUGUGGGCCACAAGGCAGCGACACCGUGUGACCGAGCAACAACCACGACGACUCAGCACCACGCGACGACGGGGGGAGACGCGUCUCGCACGCCCUCCCCCACCGCAGCUAGGCUACUCCCACACGGGUUGUUCUCCCCAAGGGCGGCACUGCCGUUCGGGUUGGACAACGCCGCGGCGUCGCUCGCCAAGACGAUAUGCCCAAACGCUCAGACGUACGUGGAAAGACCAACGGUCAUCCCACGUAGCUCUGAAGCGCGGCGGCCGACGUCCGAACUGCCGGACCUUUCCCGAAUACGAGGCCUCCGCCGUCUAGGCCCCGGACGAUACUCGAUCACCUCCCUCAGGCAACGAUGGUUGGGGGAAGGACGUGGGUGUUUCCACGCUGUCGAACCGGACUCCGACUCCGAGACAGACAGCUAUGACCCUACGAGGGAAUGCUAUCACCUCGACGGGGCGGCAGAAACCACCGACGAGACACGGGAUGCUGCUGCGGGCGGUCGAGCCCCCGCGGCGCAAGAAGACCCCAGGACGCCUGGGAACGACGGACGGCUCGACCCUCUUCCUCAUGAAGAUAGAACUGCGCAGCUCGCACAGCUGCGGGAGCUCAAGAUGAAGCUCGACGAAGAUCGCGAGCGCCUCGUCCUACUCGAGCAAAUCCUCGAACAAGACCUGCCCUACCCGCCGGGCGGAAGUGUCCGCAGACGCGCUCGAGAGGUACAUCGACAGAUCGUCGGCGACACAGAGGCGGAGCAACCUGUCAGCCGUUUCCCUCGAGCAGGCCAGAAUGUAGUGGCAGCGACGAUGCUACUACGUAACAUGCCAGAACCAUCAAAUUCCCAGGCCCGACGAAUUCGAGAUGAAGUUCAGAUAUUGCUCCAGGUGGCAGCAGUUCAACAAGCCGAAAGUUCGGCAUCUAGACGGCGAGGAGCUGCCACAGAGAAGCGCGACGAACAGCCUCUAAUCGAAGAGGAGGUGUCUGUCCAGCAACAACCUCCCCCUCGAGGUAGAAAGACCGCUCUCAUCCUCCCUGCCGACAAUCAACGUCGACACGACGCGCGACACGACGUCAAAGAAAAUAAACGCCGCCGGCACGGGGACGCGGAAGAACGUGGCUAUAGCGCGCAUCGCGGUGGGAGGUACGACAGCGACGAGGACCGGGUGGCCCCCGAGCCACCGGGCCCGCGGGUGUUCAGCAGGGCGAUUCGCAGCACGCCCCUGCCUAGUCCAUUCCGACCCCCAACCAGCAUCGCGAAGUACAAUGGAGAAACCAAGCCAGAACUAUGGCUGGCCGAUUUCAGGCUGGCGUGUCAGCUAGGUGGCGCUCGGGGGGAUGAUCGAGCCAUCAUCAGACAGCUACCCCUUUUCCUCUCCGACACCGCCCGUCGAUGGCUCGAGGAACUCCCAGCCAAUCAGAUUCACAACUGGGUUGACCUGGUCAGAGUCUUCGAGGGUAACUUCAAAGGGACCUAUAUACGGCCAGGGAACUCGUGGGACCUCAGCAAAUGCAAGCAGAAGUCAGGAGAGACACUUCGGGAGUACGCUCGACGCUUCUCGAAGCAGCGCACUGAGUUGCCACACAUCCCCGACCACGACGUCAUCUUGGCGUUUGUCUCGGGCACCACCAGUCGAGACUUGGUGCGGGAAUUAGGCCGCAAUCGACCUCAGACCGUCGACGAGCUGAUGGACGUAGUAGCUAACUACGCGGCAGGGGAGGAGGCAGUCGGCGCCUUCUUCAGCUCAGAAGGAAGAAAAGGCAAGCAACCCGUCGAUGAAGAUGGGACUUCCAGUCGAGGCCUCAAGAAAAAUAAAAAGAAGCAGAAAGUGCGGCAGUUCCACCAGGGAGAUUCGGGUGACGACCUCGUCGCCACGAUGGAUCGAAAGAAGCCGCGAGGCCCUCCGGAGGGAGGCAUCUUCGAUAAGAUGUUGGAGGAGCCGUGCCCUUACCAUAAGGGAGGCGCCAACCACAAACUCAAGGACUGUCGUAUGCUGAGAAAGCAUUUCGACGGUCAGGGGGUCAAAAAAGAUGUGCGUGAUGACUCCAAGAAGGAGAAGGCUGGCGGCAAGGGGGACAACAAAGAUGAUGACGGCUUCCCCGCCGUCCACGAUUGCUACAUGAUCUAUGGCGGGCCUUCAACUCAGUUGACCGCAAGGCAGCGCAAAAGGGAGCGUCGCGAAGUCUUUACAGCAAGAAUGGCGGUGCCCCAGUACCUUAGCUGGUCGAGCACUCCCAUCACUUUCGACCGAGAAGACCACCCUGACAAGGUGGUCGCCCCAGGCGUCUACCCGCUCGUCGUCGACCCCAUCAUCAUCAACACCCGACUCUCGAAAGUGCUGAUGGAUGGUGGCAGCAGCCUCAACAUCAUCUACCUCGAGACCCUCGACCUCCUCGGCAUCGAUAGAGGACGCCUCCAGCCAAGCGCCGGCGGUUUCCACGGCGUCGUACCCGGGAAAAAGGCACUGCGAGUAGGUCGAAUCGACCUACCGGUUUGCUUCGGCACGGCGGCCAACUUCAGGAAGGAGACCCUCACUUUUGAGGUGGUUGGGUUCCGAGGCACGUACCACGCCAUCAUCGGGCGCCCGGGCUACGCCAAGUUCAUGGCUAUACCCAACUACACAUACUUGAAGCUGAAAAUGCCUGGUCCCAAAGGCGUCAUCACCGUCAGUUCCUCCUUCGAGCACGCGUACGAGUGCGACGUCGAGUGCGUCGAGUACGGGGAGGCGGUCGAGAGCUCCACCGAGCUCGUAGCGAAGCUCGAAGCUAUGGCCGCUGAGGCUCCAGAACCUAAACGUCAUGCGGGCAGCUUCGAGGCGGCGGAAGGAACUAAGAAGAUCCCGCUCGACCCCAACAACUCCGACGGCAAGGUGCUGACGAUCAGCACCGACCUCGACCCCAAAUAGGAAGCCGUGCUCGUCGACUUUCUCCGUGCGAAUGCUGAUAUGUUUGCAUGGAGUCCCUCGGAUAUGCCGGGCAUACCAAGGGAAGUCGCCGAGCACUCCUUGGAGAUUCGAGCCGGUUCCAAGCCAGUGAAGCAGCGGUUGCGCCGAUUCGACGAGGAAAAGCGCAAGAUCAUUGGCGAGGAAGUCCACAAGCUUUUGACGACCGGAUUCAUCAAGGAGGUUCAUCAUCCUGACUGGUUAGCGAACCCUGUAUUAGUUAAGAAAAAGAAUGGGAAAAUGAGGAUGUGUGUCGAUUAUACUAGUUUGAAUAAAGCAUGUCCGAAAGUUCCCUUUCCAUUGCCACGCAUUGAUCAGAUUGUCGAUUCUACCGCGGGAUGUGAAACCCUUUCUUUCCUUGAUGCUUAUUCCGGUUACCAUCAAAUAAAAAUGAAGGAGUCCGACCAGCUCGCGACCUCUUUCAUCACGCCUUUUGGGAUGUAUUGCUAUGUGACCAUGCCAUUCGGGCUUCGAAACGCCGGAGCCACGUAUCAACGUUGCAUGCUCCACGUUUUCGGCAAACACAUAGGCUCAACGGUCGAGGCCUACGUCGACGACAUUGUCGUCAAGUCAAAGCAACGAGGAGACCUGAUCCAGGACCUCGAGGUUGCCUUCAGCUGCUUACGCACCAGCCGGAUCAAGCUUAAUCCCGAGAAGUGCGUUUUCGGCGUGCCUCGAGGCAUGCUCUUAGGAUACAUUGUUUCACAGCGCGGUAUCGAGGCCAACCCCGAGAAAGUCUCGGCCAUCACGAAAAUGGGGCCAAAUCCGAGACAUCAAGGGUGUCCAGAGAGUCACGGGGUGCCUGGCGGCUCUGAGCCGUUUCAUCUCGAGACUAGGAGAAAAGGCAUUACCAUUAUAUCGACUCCUGAAGAAGGUCGAGCGCUUUUCUUGGACCCCCGAGGCCGAGGAAGCACUCGAAAAACUGAAAAAGACGCUGACCUCGGCACCAGUCCUGGUUCCACCUCAACCUGCGGAGCCGCUACUCCUCUACGUCGCGUCGACGACCCAGGUCGUCAGCACGGCGGUGGUGGUCGAAAGACAAGAGGAGGGUCACGCGCUGCCGGUCCAAAGGCCAGUCUAUUUCGUCAGCGAGGUGCUCUCGGAGACCAAGGCGCGUUACCCCCAAAUCCAGAAGCUGAUCUACGCCGUGAUCCUUGCCCGCCGCAAACUGCAACAUUACUUCCUUGGUCAUCCUAUCACGGUGGUCUCUUCUUUCCCCUUGGGCGAGAUAAUCCAGAGCAAGGAGGCCACGGGAAGAAUAGCUAAGUGGUCGGUCGAGCUCAUGAGCGAGACUCUCACUUACGCGCCUCGGAAGGCCAUCAAAUCGCAAGCCCUGGUAGACUUCGUCGCGGAAUGGACGGACUCCCAGCUACCCCCAACUCAGGUCCAGGCGGAGCUGUGGACAAUGUAUUUCGACGGGUCACUCAUGAAAACUGGGGCCGGGGCCGGCCUACUAUUCAUCUCACCCUUGGGCGUCCACAUGAGGUACAUAAUCAGGAUUCAUUUCGCCGCAUCUAACAAUGUCGCAGAAUAUGAGGCCCUCGUCAACGGUCUCAAGAUCGCUAUCGAGUUAGGAGUCCGACGCCUCGACGUCCGAGGCGACUCCCAACUCGUCAUCGACCAGGUAAUGAAAGCCUCGAGUUGCCAUGACCCAAAAAUGGAAGCAUACUGCAAGGAGGUGCGUCGACUCGAAGACAAAUUCCACGGCCUCGAGCUUGUCCAUGUCGCUCGACGCUACAACGAGGCAGCCGACGAACUCGCCAAGAUUGCAUCUACCAGAGGCACAGUGCCGCCUGAUGCAUUCUCAAAGGAUCUUCACGAGCCAUCCGUCGACCUAGGCACGGGGGCUGGCGUCGACACCACCAUCGCCCAACCGACCAAUGCUGUCGAUGCGCUCUUGAUGGAGGAAGAGGUGAUGGAAAUAGAACGACGACCGGUUAGACCAUUCGAUUGGCGCACACCAUUCCUCGAUUGCCUUAUCCGCGGUGAGUUGCCAGAAGACAGGACAGAGGCUCGUCGUAUCGCUCGACGGGCUAAAUCAUAUGUGAUCUAUGGCGAAGACAACGAGCUAUAUCGACGGAGCUCGACGGGGGUCUUACAACGUUGCAUCACCGUAGAGGAAGGCCGAAAACUCCUCGACGACCUACACUCGGGGGCUUGUGGCCACCACGCCGCCCCGCGGACCCUUGUAGGAAACGCUUUUCGGCAAGGCUUUUACUGGCCAACGGCCGUGGCGGAUGCCAUCGAGCUCGUACGCUCGUGUCAUGGGUGCCAAUUCUACGCCAAACAGACGCACCUGCCCGCCCACGCUCUUCAGAUGAUCCCCAUCACCUGGCCGUUUGCGGUGUGGGGGCUCGAUUUAGUAGGACCUCUACAAAAGGCGAAAGGAGGGUAUACCCAUUUGCUGGUGGCUAUCGACAAGUUCUCCAAAUGGAUCGAGGCUCGACCCAUCACCAACAUCCGCUCCGAGCAGGCCGUCCUUUUCUUCUCCGACAUCAUCCAUCGGUUUGGGAUCCCCAAUGUCAUCAUCACCGACAACGGCACCCAGUUCACUGGCAGAAAGUUCUUGGAUUUCUGCGAUCAGCAUCACAUCCGUGUGAACUGGUCCGCAGUAGCCCACCCUCGAACUAACGGCCAAGUCGAGCGUGCCAACGGCAUGAUUUUGCAAGGACUCAAGCCAAGGAUCUACAAUCGAUUGAAGAAAUUCGGCAAGAGAUGGGUCGAGGAGCUUUCCUCGGUCCUAUGGAGCCUAAGGACAACGCCGAGCAGGGCCACCAAAUACACCCCGUUCUUCAUGGUCUACGGCUCUGAGGCUAUCCUCCCCACAGACCUCGAGUAUGGGUCACCUCGACUCAAGGCUUACAACGAGCAAUCGAACAAAGAAGCUCAAGAAAACGCGGUCGACCAACUCGAGGAGGCUCGAGACAUGGCCCUCCUCAACUCUGCUAGAUAUCAGCAGAGACUCCGACGCUACCACGACAAGCACGUGCGCAAGAGGGACCUCAACGUAGGCGACCUUGUCCUACGACGCCGGCAAAGCAACCAAGGACGCCACAAGCUAACCCCACCUUGGGAAGGCCCGUAUGUGGUGGCCGAGGUCCUUAAGCCAGGAACGUACAAAUUGGCGGACGAAAAGGGGGCAGUCUUCACCAACGCAUGGAACAUCGAACAGCUACGUCGGUUCUACCCCUAGAAGUCCUAGAUUUACGAUCCUACUUUUUGUACGAAGACUUUGUAGAUGAACGCAUGAAUAAAUAAAGUCUUUCCCUCGAGCAGUUUCUUUCUAUACCAAAAAUAGUUACGAGUUAUAGUCUCGACGUCAAAAGGGGAUGCCGACCAUGACCCAUCAUAGUCCGCACCCCCUCGGGGGCUACCAGAGGGACGACCCCUCCCCAAGCCUCGAAAAGGCCAAAAAGUUUCUCUCUUUCCUAUUUAGUAAACCUUGAACGAUCGAGUAGUCGAGGCGCCUCAAGCCCCUCGAGGACCGAAGGAUAGCGAGCCUGAGAACACCUACGCCCCCGGGCUAUGGAAACUCUACUCACUCCCUCACCCUCGAGGCGAUCGAAGCUGUCUUUUACGAAAAAUCGAACAAGGAACACAUGUGUAGGCGCAAAAAGAAAUAAAAGAACCUCGAGUGGAAAGAUAAACAAACAUUUAACAACCACAAAAAUACUGUAUCGCUUAAAAACAGGAUUAACAGAGUUUUAUACAAGGGGCCCCAGGCACCCCGAGCAGGCUCGCAGGCCUCAGUCCAUGGUACGAUCCUCGCCACCCUCACCUCCGCCCGAGUUAGCCUCAGGAGGGAGCACCUCAGGCUCGAAGAGCUUGGCCAACCUUUCUCCAGGAGCCUCCGCGUCGUCGAUCAAGGCAUGGAGUCUCUCCUCGUUCUCCGCGUCGGUCUUGGAGAUGUCGGUGACGAAGCCAUGAGACACCACCUCCAUGUCGUAGGAGAAGCCCGAGCAGACAACCGCCAUCGCCCGCUUCACCCCGAUGUGGAGGGCAUCCCGCACCCGAUCUCGCAGCGCUGCGCCUAUGUAGCACAACUGGUCGAUCAGGGCGUCGCCUCGGGCGUCCUCCCUCGACUCAUCCAUAGGCUCGACCUUCCAAGAGGUCGAGAGAUCGCUUAUCGCCGUCCGCACUCGACGGUUCAAAGCAACCUCAGCCUCGAGUUGAGCCUUGGCGUUGCGAGCCUCGGCUUGGGCGGCCAGGAGUUCGUCCUUGAGCCCUACAAAUGCCAACACAAAGAAGCUUUAGGAAAAGCUCAAGCACACCUCGAAAAGAAAAUUCGACGAAGGGAACAUACCUUUGAUGCUCUCCUCUAGAGCCGUGUUCUCGCCAACCAAUCUGGUGUUGGCACGCUCGAUCUCUCUGUUGGAGCGCGCCAGCUCAGUAUUGGCGACGCGGAGAUCUUCGAUCACCCUGCCAGCCUGAGCGACGGCUCCACUCUUCUCCAGCAGUUCUCCCUUCAGACGCUCAACGUCGUCAGAGAGACUGCGGGAUCGAGCUCGCUCCAUCUCGAGGUCUUCGAGGGCUUUCUUCUUUGGGUCCUCGGCGGCACCCCUGGCGACCUCAUUGUCCACGUACGCCACCUUCAUCUUCUGGAAGGUAUCGCGGAGGGAGUCCAGGUCGGUUUGGAGAAGGACCUUCUCCUUGUCCAGGUCCGUGAUGAUGCUCUUGUGGGACAGGACCUCCUCCCGGGCUCUGGACGCGGCCUCCUCGACCGUAAGAGCCCGCUCCCGUAGCCGCACCGCCUCCUCCUCCGCCUUCUUCGAGACCUCUCGGGCUUCGGCCAAAGCAGCCUCCCUCACCUUCUUCUCCUCCUCGAGUGCUAUAAGAUCUUUGUAAGCUUUAAGCAGCUUUUCCUGCGACUCGAGGAGUUGAUCCUUGAGGAGGGGAAGCUGCUCCCAUCCGCCCCUCGUGGCAUGUAUGAAGCUAGACUUGAUGCGAGAGGUCUCUUUCAUAUCCUGCGAAUCGGGGGUCAGGGGGAUUAGAACACAGAAACCCAAAAGCACCACCAAGAUUGGAGCUCGAGAAACACUUACAAAAUAAGCUGGCCCAAGCCCGUUGUUGAUGACGUCCGAUAGGAGCCCCACCACGUGUUUCAUCCAAAGGCAGAGCUCCUCGACGUGCUCCCACUUCUCGACCUCCUUCUUGUCGUCGAGGAAGAUAUUGGGCUCGGACGGGUCGCUGGAAGCUCGGAUACGAAUCCGAUCGGGACACCAGUUCUCCAUCUCCCGAUCGGCCCGCACCUUGACGCCGCGGAGAAAGUUCUCGACGGUCUCGAGGGAACCCCCGUGGCGCAAGAACAGGUCAGCGAGGCAAGGGAACCGCCCGUCGUCAUCCACCGUCUUCCAUGUACCGUCCUUGCUCCCAGACGUCCCGAUCUCGUCCUCCUCUGAGGGAAAGCGGUCCUCCCACGCUCGACGCUCCCGGAGGAACCCUGGGGCGAUCCCAUCCAUGCCGUAGAGUGUCCUCUUGAUCUCGGACUCGGGGUCGGUGGGGGUGCGCAUCAUGCAGGCGAGCGCCACCACUCCGUCCGCUCGCCCCGACUCUGCCCGAAUCGCGGCAGGCGCCCCCGGGAGGAGCCAAGCUGGGGUGGGAGGCCCGUACACCGGCAAAUCUUCCUCUUGAUCGCCGGGCUCUUGCGACGCCAGCGGCGCCGGUUCGGCCAAAAUUUGAGGCGGGGGCUCGAGUGGCUCGUUCUCUUGGCCCCCCAGCUGCUGUUGCUGCCCUAGCUGCUGCUGCUGCUCCUCCUGCUGAUGCUGCAGUUGCUCCUCCGGCUGGGGUCGCUGCUGCUGCUGCUCCAGUGACGGCUGCGUCGCCUCGCGCUCCCGCCCCUCCUCCUCCACCAUCUUCCUUUGCGCCUCGAGGGCUCGAAGGCCUGUGGGCCAGGGAGUCCGUCCUGCGACGUUGGGAGUCGACGCCUCUUCCUCCAUGGGUCGAGCGCCCCCAGACGCUUCGUUGCCAUCAGACGUAUCGCUGAUGGUGAUGGGUUCCCCCUCGACCCCCAAUCGAGAGGGCUCAGGGGCUCCCUCUGACGCUCGCGUCUGGGGGGCCGCAUCAUGAGUCGGUGGCGGCGGAGUAGGCGCGGGACGAGGCGAAGCCAUCUCGACGCCGGCUGAAGGUUGGGUGCUUGACGGGCCUACAAAACAAAGGGUGAGGGUCAGACGUUAUGAUGACCGACGUAAGAAUAUCGCGACACCCAGGAAUUAACUACGAACCUGGUUCCGUGGAGGCGGCACCCGUUCUGAGCCUCUUGGCCAUCGAUGGUUGGGCCUGCUCGAGGGUCCGUUUCAGCCUGAGAAAAAGUCGGCAUGUGAGGAAGGGUGAAAGAAUGGGGGGACAAAGACCGCAACAACAAAAGGGCUUACCCCACGGGCAGAACGGCUCGCCUUCCGCCUACCCGACCAGCGGGCCUCGAACCACCCCGCGUCGGGGCGCUAGGCCCCUCGGGGGCAGAAACUGGCCUAGGUACGUCGGUCCCCGCCUGGCGGGCGCCGGGACUCGUGCUCCUACGACCGGCGUCCCCUUUCUCAGAGGCCGCAGCGCGACCGCGAGUUAGCGGCCCCGACGCCUGGGACCUAGCCGGACCGCUCUCCCUGGGCGCCAUGGGAGGGCGCGGUGCGUCUUGGCCCGCCUUGAGCGCGGAAGGAGCGUUGGGCCGGGGACGACGAGAUCCGCUCGGACCCUCCUCCGGCGCCUCCGUCCGGGGGGCGUCGACGUCACCUCGAGGCGGGCCCUCGAGGAUCCGAUCAAGGCGCGACGCCAUCCCCUCGGAGUCGUCGCUACUCUCGUCGUCGUCAUCGUCAUCGUUGGGGGAUUCUUCCUCAGGUUCCCCCCUCUGCCUGGAUUUGGCUCGACGCGCCUCUAAUGCUUGGCGGUCGAGGUUCUUCUUCUUCUCCCCCUUCUUUGCGGAGUCCUUGGCAGACUUCAGCUUCUCGGCGGAUUGGCGCCGCUUGUCGCGAUCGGCCUCGUCCUCCUUUACCGGAGGCCUCGAGGACCGGACAUCAAUUCGACCCUGCCAAAACUAAGGUAGACUUAGAAGAAAAGAGAGGGAAUAAAGAGAAACCCAGAAUCGAGGAUGCGCGUAAGAAGAAAGCGUACCAGAUCAAUCGAGCCUGCGUCAGGCCUCAUGGGGAAGCCGUUGACAUGCUCCGGCUUAAAAUCACUGGCAAUUGCGGCCCUGACUCGGGCCGCGACUUCAUCGUCCGCCGAAGGCUCGCUGGACAUCCGACAUGCCUCGAGGUCCCGAGACGAGACGCCAGGGCCCAUCUCGUCCAUCCUCAGCGGUCGUGACAUCAGAGGGAGAACUCUCCAAUGAUGGACGGCCGAGAGGACAAGGGCGGCGGUCAAACCUUCCUGGCGAAGCUUCUUCAGGGCGUCGAGGAGAGGGUCGAGCCGAGGCUGAUGAGCUUGGACGACGCCGUAAGUCCAGUCCGCCGGGCGCUCCAAGAUCAGACGGCCCGAGUAGGAAGGAAGGAGGUUGUCGUCGUUCCGCAGGUAGAACCAUUGGGAGUCCCAACCGGCGUGGUUGGUCGACAACCCUACCGGGAUGUACUCCCGCGGCCGGUCCGUCUUCCCCGUCUUCUGCACCAGAUUGAGGCAACCCGCCCGCACGGGUUUCCUCACGCCCGUGGUUCCGGUGGAGGCGUGAAACAGCUCGCCCCUGUAGAGGUGGAGCCACAGCUCCCAGUGCGGCAUCAUCCCUAGGAAGCCCUCACACACGGCGGCGAAGACCGCCGCCACGGUGAUGGCGUUCGGAGAGAAGUGCUGCAGCUCCACCCCAUAAUGGAAGCAGAGGGCCCGCAUGAAGCGGCUUGGAGGCGGGCCCAGACCGUGGCGGUGAAACUUGGCGAACGACACCACGUAGCCCUCGGGUGGCUGAGGCGCCCUGUGGCUCGCUGGCGGCGCGAUCCACUCUAGCGACGACAGCGAGGUGCGGCGGCGCAGCAGUCCCUCCUUCUCGAGCUCUAACAGCCGGCGCUCCGUCAUCGACGACGGGCGCCAGUCAUCGGCGGCGACGAGUCUUACAGGCAUCUCGGCUAACGGGGCGGUGGGUUCGCUACGGCUCGAGGGGGCGUGUGCGCGUGAGAUGACGAGAAAGCAAAGGCAGCAAAGGAACGAGAGCGAGAAGGCGGAAGGGAGAGGAACGGCGGUGACGCGACGACAUAUUUAUAGGCAGCUGUCCGCCAACGGACAGAUCCGAGAAGUAAGGUAACUCCCCCCAUAAAUGCGCCGCCUGACAGCUCUCUCUCUCCUCACAGGCCGGACUCUCCGAAUUCCUCGCCGAUACGGUAUCGUAACGUCAUCCGCCUAAAAAGACGCGCCCAACGGACAGAAAGGCGAACCGCCACGACCAUUUCCUUCCCUCGUAAGCCAAGGGACAUAACCGCAAAAGUCUCGAGAGGUCGAUGGCUGGCCCGCCGAAAGGGUUCGACAGCCGAUCUCGAGCGCCAGAGUCAGGGAUCCCCAGCGAGCGGUCGAAGAUCGAGGCCCGCCUCGAGGACUCGCUGGUGAUGUUCAAGGUAGGGUCGAGACAGUCGAGAGGAAUCCCCCCGAAGGGAGGCAUCGAGCCGCUGGACUCUAUCGAAUGAGACCAGUAUCCCCGACCACGUCGACCCUGCUUUAUGAGGACGCCUCCGGGCUACAGCUGACCCCCUCGAAAGGGGCACAGGUUCUCACUUGGACUACCCGCUAGGAACUCAAUUUGGGAUGAAAGACGCUCGCUCUAUCGAGAGUACGUCGAAACCCACGGGCAAAAACGAGCCAGUCAGAACCUUCCACCACUGGUGUCGAAAGCGUUUCUGCGAAUUAGAUAACAUAACCCCCGAAGGAGUCAAAAACUCCUCCGAGGGCUCGGGGGCUACCCCGCGGGGUCACUCGCGCGCCCCCACGAAAAUUCGACCGUAAAUCAAAACCUCCAUUCGAGCGCUAGCGCUCAAAUGAAGGCUCGGGGGCUACUGUCGAGGGUAUCGGUAAGGGGUACCCUCAGCAAUGCACAUUAUGAGAUUGCCCGUACGAAGGUCGAGACCCUUAAUUCGACGCUCUAAUCUUACGUAUGCGCCGCCAUCGACAGUCGCAGCCUCGAAGACGGAAAUAGUCUCGAGCGAAUCGGUUCAGGACUCGAACGACGACUGCUGUCGAUGACGGGAGCGGGCUCGAGCGAACCAAGAGCUGUCGGGCGCGAGGACACUGUCCGCCGCCCGACGCGCGCACGCGAGCCGGAGCAUUAAAUGCACCUGACGCUUCCCCACCUAACACACAGGUCAUGGGAGGCGUGAUAGGGAGCAAGCUUCUGUCCCAUCGUUCUUUUUGCAGCCUUCCCACCGAACGACCCAGGGCGCGUCAGGACGCGGGAAACAAGGAUGGAACGUCUAAUCGGGACCCCCUCGAGACGCCCAAGGUCAGCGCUCCAGAUAUCAGAAUAUUACGCGGCGCCCGAUCCUCGACCGAACAAGGUCCCUUCCCAGGGACAAGUCGGGCGUCGACUGACAACACCACAGCUGCUCCGCCGGAUCCGCCACCAUACCAUACGAGCAUGCGACCUCAGAACCAGCACAAGGCGGCUGGCAGGGCAGCUCGCAGGAGCACGCGUAAUCAUCACCAAGCUAUCAAGAUGGGACGGCUCGAGGCCAUGCCGUACGGAAGCCUCGAGUAGGUCAGCGCUCCAUGCGGCUAUCGAUCCCUACUCUAACAUCUACGCAUGUACCCUGUGUCUCUCCUUGGAGCUAUAAAAGGAGGGACUCAGGAAUAGAAGAGGGACACCUCAACACAAGAACACACACACACAUACGUAGUAGAGCUACACACUUCAUACCACGCUUGUAUUCGCCCCUGUACAAGCACUUAGGUGCAAGAUAAUACAAACUCCCUCCCCCCGCUGGACGUAGGGCCUUCUCUUGCCCGAACCAGGAUAAAUUUCAGUGUCUUCUUGCAUCACCAUCCGGAAAGGGGAGCACGCAUACAAAUUUACUCGUUGGUGUGACCCCCCGGGGGAAAAAACACCGACAUUAUUUGUUCCUGUUGACUCCAUUUUUGGGCACGUGUCUAGGAUGGCAGGAUAGGGUGGCAGUACGAUGCGGGUUGCUGAUGAGGAUGGUUGCCGAUAAAGGAGAGGUUGAAUGUAACUAAGUCCACAGGCAGUAAUAUGGUGCCGAUGGCUGGAUAAAAAGGUCUGCCGAUGACUAUGGCAAGGGGAUUGCCGAUGAUGCGAAGGAGGAGUCCGGAAGCUGCCAGUUGUCAUGUGGAGGAGUUUCGGUUUGUUACGAAGGAUAGUUUUAUUAUUUCCUUAAUUAUUUGCAUCGUUUUGUAUACGGAUUCCGUGUAAUUUGGAAUUCGAAUUCUAAUCGUGUCUGGUUGUAGUUCUUUGAGCAGGGUAUAAAUAUAAACCCUAGGACCUUGUAAAAAAUAUCAAGAAAUCAAUCAAACACACGUUUUUACUCAUAAUCCAGCAUCUACUUUUCGACGACUUCGUCAUACUUUUUUCUUUUUAUUACGAGUUCUUAGGAAUUCGUCGACUUAAGCUCGGCGUGUUCUCGAGUUCUGCGUGAGUACCUCUUAGCCGUGACAUCCGGGCGCAUCGCUGUUGUCAGGACUAAAGUAUUCGAGUUAUCACCUUUGCCGAUAGCAAGGUCAAAUCGGCUGGCACGCCUUAACGUUUGAAUCGGGUAUUAGCCCUUUGUGUUUGCAGAUCAGUUUUGCAUCAACACAUCUUUUGGCACGCCCGGUGGGACAGAUUCAAGAUCAAGAUCAACAUGUCGAUCUCUGACCUCGAUCAAGAGAACGUCAUCCCCGUGACGGAGGCCAACCUCAAGGAUGAGCAAAAGCAAGCUAUUGCCCAAGCCAUGGAAGAGUUCAAGCAGCAAUGCCUGAGGUCUUUCAGCAUAAACAGGAGCGGCGAAGUGGUCCAGAAAGAUGCACUGCCGGCACCACGGCAGGUCACCUUUGACGCCAAUCCUGGCAAGCUUCAAGAUAUGGUUGACAAUGCCAUCAAUCGAGCGUUGAUUAACCAAGCUGGUGUACUGUCUAAUACGGUUUUCAACGCCGUGGCAAGAACUUUCAAGGAAGGACAAAUCCCGCCAGAUUAUGUGGGGCCCUCCCAUCAUCAGCCAACGGCACCAGAGGUCACGGCUCCAUCGGCUGCCUUGACGAAUGCAAGUGCACAGUCUGCCGUCCCUCCAAGUACAUUGGGGACUACUGGUGCACUAUCUAUGCCGAUGGCAACCAACCCACAAAUUUCAGUUGGGCAGCAUAAACUGACAACAUAUAUGUUGGCAUCGGCAAUGUCAGGGUUAACUCUUCCUCCCAACUGGUGGGGUUAUGGUAUGCCUCCAGAGUUGACGCCGGGAACAUCACAAAUAACUGACAUGAGGGGCAAAACUCCUAUGACAUCGGCACCUCCCAAUGCGCCGGUGAACCAGAGUCCUCGGUAUACCACAACUACUACUGCAAGGCCUCACACUGGGAAUCCUCAAGAUUCAAUGUUUCAGAUGCCCAACGCAUCGGCAGAGUCAAUGCUGACGCAACAGAGGCCUAUGGCCCAGACGGGGUAUGUCAAUUCAACGACGGUACCCAAUUACCAAUCAUCGGCAGCACCUAUGCCGAUGAACGCUAACAAUGGAUGGCUUGGACAGCAAGCCUUUCCACAAUCGCCCCAGCAGGGUUAUCAGACUACAGGGUUCCAGCAAGGGCAGGUCUAUCCCGGGUUCCAAGGUCAGGGGAUUCCCAACCAGCCAAUAAAUUUUGGACAGCAACUCGGAGGACAGCCAAUCGGUGGACAACAGUUUGGUAGUCCGCAGAUUGGAGGACAGGUGACCAAUACAAUGUUCCAUGCAGGUCACGUCCCGAACAGACACGUGGAGGUUCGCCACCAAGUGCCAGAUCCGCAGCCGCCUCAUCGGCAAGAUGCCGAUGCGUAUUGGGCCGAUAAGAUUGCUGAAGUAAUGAGGGAACAAUUUGGGAUAAAACCCAAAGUCAACACUUACUCUUAUCGGACACUGUAUCCUCCAGCGUAUGAUUUGAUCCCGCUUCCACAUCGGUACAAGGUACCGGAUUUUACAAAGUUUUCCGGACAGGACGACACGUCAACCAUGGAGCAUGUCAACAGGUUCAUUAUUCAAUGUGGAGAGGCUGGUAACAGGGACGAAUUGAGGGUUCGUCUAUUUUCAUCAUCAUUGUCUGGAUCGGCCUUUACUUGGUUCAUAUCAUUACCUCCCAACUCAGUAAUUACUUGGGCCGAUCUAGAGAAGCAAUUCCACAGAUACUUCUUCUCGGGGGUUCAUGAGAAGAAGAUCACCGACUUGGUCAAGUUGAGGCAACGUAAUGAUGAGUCGGUUGAGGGAUUUGUGCAGAGGAUACGAGAGGUCAAGAAUAAAUGCUAUAGCCUGGUUCUAGAUGAUCGGCAGCUAGCCGAUUUGGCUUUCCAGGGUUUGUUGCCACAUAUUAGGGAUAAGUAUGCCUCUCAGGAGUUCGAAAGUUUAAGUCAUUUGGUGCAGAGGAUAUCUGAUCAAGACAUCAAGCCUUUCGAGCCUAAGAGGGCAUGGAAUAAGAAAGUGUCAUUUGUUGAUGAAGCAACAAGCUCAGAUUCCGAUGAGGAACCAGUAAUCGGUUUGGCAGAGUGGGUAAAAAACAAGAAGCCGAUGUCUUGUCCUUUUGGGCAGAAGGAACCAGAGAAGUUUGCCUUUGACACCGCCAAGGCCGAUAGGAUAUUUGACUUUCUACUUCAGGAAGGUCAAAUCAAACUGUCACCUAACCAUGUGAUCCCAUCGGCAGAAGAGUUGAAGAGGAUGAGAUAUUGCAAGUGGCAUAAUGCAACUUCACAUGACACCAACGAGUGCAAAGUAUUCAGACAGCAGCUGCAAUCGGCUAUAGAGUCCGGGAGAAUCAAGUUUGACAGUUCCAAAGCCCAGAAGCCGAUGAAGAUAGACCAACAUCCUUUCCCGACAAACAUGUUGGAUGCUAAGGGGAAGGCUAAGGUCUUAACGUCGGAGACAGCUGAGAAGAGUGCAUCGGUAGAUCCUCAGCAUCAAGUUACUACUGCCGAUGCAAGAAGUAAGGGCUUAGUCCAGGAAGGAACUAGCUCAGGAAGGCUUCCUCGAUCUGGCAUCGUCAUAACUCAUAGGAGGCCUCGAGAAAAAUGGCAACAACGGGAAGAUCGGUAUCGGCGCCAGCAGGAAGAUUAUCAACGGGAAGAAGAAAGACGCCGACAGGAGUGGAAUCGGCACAGGGAUCAUUGGAAUUGCCCAUUUUUCAUCCAUUGUUGGGAGGAAAAUAUCAAGCUUCCUACUGUCAGAGAUUGCCCUGAAUGCAACGGUUAUGAUCGGUACGAUAGGAACGAUCGGCGUUAUCAUGAUGAUGAACGGCGAGCUAAUGGGCCGAUCAGAGGAAGGGUGUCAGUUCAUGACCGGCUGGGGGGCAGAUUCAGUGGGCACAACAGGCUUAGUAACCGUGUCCAGUAUUUUCCCAGGAAUCAAGAGGAGCUCGAAGGAAUGGCUGAUGCGCGGGUUCCCGAUGAAUUCAUAUUUUGCAGGGAUGCUAACACACAUCGCAUGGAGUCAAGGGAGAACCGGCGCCCGACGGCAAGGCAAAGGCCACUUCCUCCAUGGUGCCCUCGAGGAUUAACCAAGACACAGAAAAGGAGAUUGCAACGAGAAAGGCAAGAGGAGCUAAACAAGGGAGAGAGUUCUGGGAGUCGGCAGCCGUCAGACACUAAGAGGGAAGGUCCAUCGGCAGGCGUCAACAUGGUCUUCAUGUUGCCGAUGGAGUUUCUUGCACCAGCCAGUGACGAUGAGUUGGAAUUUUCUGAUCAGAUAGCUCGGUUGGCUCUGGAUCCGAUGACGGCUAUCUUUGAGAAACCUGCCGAUGACGAGAGGCAGCAUCUUAAAGCUUUGUUCCUCAAAGGAAGGGUUGAUGGGCAGCCAAUGACCAAGAUCCUAGUUGAUGGUGGAGCUGCUAUUAAUAUUAUGCCGUAUGCAGUAUAUCGGAAGCUUGGGAAAGGGGAUCAAGAUUUGACCAAGACCGAUAUGAUGCUCAAAGACUUUGAAGGAAACGUGUCUCCAGUCAAGGGGGCGAUAUGUGCAGAGUUGACCAUCGGCAGCAAAACCUUGCCGACAACUUUUUUCGUGAUCAGUGGAAAAGGUGCCUACAAUUUAUUAUUGGGGAGAGAUUGGAUUCAUGCCAAUUGUUGUGUCCCAUCUACAAUGCAUCAGUGCUUGGUUCAGUGGGUAGGUGACAAGAUUGAGAUCGUCCCAGGAGAUUCUUCUUAUGUUAUCGCAUCGGCAGAAGCGGAUACUUACGAAAGGACCAGGUGCAUUUCAGGAGAAGUUUGGGAGAAAGAUUUUCUCAAAGUUGCCGAUUAUGAGAUUCCACCGAUCCAAGCAGUCGGUUCUGACGACGGUUUUUAAUGGAUAGAUUCGCCGAUGAUGGAAAAUUAGGCCAGGGAUUCACAUCGGCCGAUGAUUUGGUAGAAGUAGAUAUAGGUAGUGGUGAUAAGCCUAGGCCUACUUUUAUUAGUGCUAAAUUAGAUCCUGAGUGUAAGCGACAAUUGACUAGUUUGUUAAAGGAAUAUAAAGAUUGCUUUGCUUGGGAUUAUACAGAGAUGCCUGGUUUAGACCGAUCAAUUGUCGAGCAUCGGUUACCCAUCAAGUCUGGAUUUCGGCCACAUCAGCAACCAGCCCGCCGAUGUAAUCCUAACAUUCUACCUGAUAUUAAGGCCGAAAUCACUAAACUUAUUGAAGCUAAGUUUAUUCGGCAGUGUCGGUAUGCCGAAUGGAUUUCCAAUGUUGUUCCGGUUUACAAGAAGAACGGGAAGCUUCGGGUGUGCAUUGAUUUCAGGAAUCUCAAUAAAGCUACACCGAUGGAUGGAUACCCAAUGCCUGUCGCCGAUCUACUGGUUGAUGCUGCGGCUGGCCAUCGGGUCAUCAGCUUCAUGGAUGGUAAUGCAGGUUACAAUCAAAUAUUCAUGGCAGAGGAGGAUAUUCCAAAAACCGCAUUCAGGUGCCCUGGUCAUGUUGGACUAUUUGAAUGGAUAGUCAUGACUUUUGGGUUAAAGAAUGCUGGUGCUACUUAUCAAAGGGCUAUGAAUUUUAUAUUUCAUGAGUUCAUCGGCAAGCUCGUGGAGAUUUAUAUUGAUGAUGUGGUGGUUAAGUCUGGAGAUUUCUCAAAGCAUCUUGCCGAUUUACGAAAAGUGUUGGAGUGCACAAGGAAGCAUGGAUUGAAGAUGAAUCCCAACAAGUGUGCAUUUGGCGUAUCGGCAGGGCAGUUUCUUGGUUUCAUGGUACAUCAGAGGGGUAUUGAAAUUAGUCGAAGAUCUAUUGAUGCCAUCAAUAAAAUAGUGGCCCCCACCAAUAAAACCGAGCUCCAAUCCUUGAUCGGCAAGGUGAAUUUUAUCAGAAGAUUUGUAUCGAAUUUAUCUGGGAGGAUUCAUGCUUUCAGUCCUCUUCUUAAAUUGAAAGCCGAUCAAGAGUUUGUUUGGGGAGAAGAACAGCAGUUGGCUCUGGAUGAAAUCAAGAAGUAUCUGGUAAAUCCUAUAGUUUUAGUUCCACCUCAACAAGGGAAGCCCUUCAAAUUGUAUUUAUCUACCGAUGGAUCGGUUAUCGGUUCAGCUUUAGUUCAAGAAUUUGAAGGGAAAGAGAGGGUAAUUUAUUAUUUGAGUAGGAGGUUGAUUGAUGCUGAAACCAGGUAUUCGGCCAUUGAGAAACUGUGCUUAUGCCUAUAUUUUUCAUGUAUCAAGCUGAGACAUUACCUGUUGUCGGCCGAAUGUGCUGUUGUUUGCAAAGACGACGUGGUCCGAUACAUGCUAUCUAUGCCGAUUAUGAGUGGUAGGAUCGGUAAAUGGAUUUUAGCGCUGUCGGAGUUCGAUUUGCGUUACGAAUCGGCUAAGGCAGUCAAAGGGCAGGUUAUGGACGAUUUUGUGACUCAGCAUUGCGGUCUAGUGGAAACCUUGGAAAUUGCACCCUGGACGCUCUUCUUUGAUGGAUCUACCUGUGACCGGGGGGCAGGAAUCGGCAUCGUAUUAGUUUCUCCUAAGGGGAGGAAGUAUGAGUUUUCCUUGCCGAUUGUUGCUACAUCAACAAAUAAUCAGGCUGAGUAUCAAGCUCUGAUCAAGGGAUUGGAGUUGUUAAGAGAAGUUCGUGCUGAUGCUGUUGAAAUAUUCGGGGAUUCUAUGUUGGUUAUAAAUCAAUUGGCCGGAAGCUAUGAAUGCCGAAGUGAAGUUCUCAAAACCUAUUUCGAGAGAAGUAUGCAACUGUUAAAAGAAUUCAAGGACUUCCGAUUGGAGCAUGUUCCCCGAUUGCAUAAUGAAGACGCUAAUCGGUUAGCCCAGCAUGCCUCGGGAUAUCAGCCAAUGAUUAAUGCGACAUCGGCAGUCAGUGCCGGUGAUUGGAGGAAAGAAAUUAUUGAUUAUCUAAAAGAUCCAUCCAAAAAGGUUGAAAGACGGGUUCGAUUUCAGGCAACCAAGUAUGUGCUCCUUGAAGAUGAAUUGUAUUAUCGAACUGUCGACGGAAUUCUUCUCCGAUGCUUGGGUGAUGAUGAAGCCAGAAGUUUGAUGGGGGAAAUCCAUGAAGGAGUGUGUGGAGCGCAUCAGUCAGCUUUUAAGAUGAAGUGGAUGAUUCGAAGGAAUGGAUAUCUUUGGCCAACCAUACUUGAAGAUUGUUUUAAAUAUUUUAAGGGAUGUCAAGGUUGUCAAAAGUUCGGUAAUAUCCAGAAAGCACCCGCAUCGGCUAUGAAUCCUAUAAUAAAACCUUGGCCGUUCCGGGGAUGGGCCAUCGAUCUGAUCGGCCAGAUUUAUCCACCAUCUAGCAAAGGGCAUAAGUUCAUUCUAGUUGCCACUGACUAUUUCACUAAGUGGGUCGAAGCUAUUCCUUUGAAGAAAGUCACAUCGGCCAAUAUGAUUGAUUUUGUGAAGGAGCAUAUUAUUUACCGAUUUGGGAUUCCCCAAACGAUUACUACCGAUCAGGGCACCAUGUUCACGUCGGGGGAGUUCGAUGAAUUUGCAAUCGGUAUGGGAAUUAAAGUGUUGAAUUCUUCUCCUUACUAUGCUCAAGCCAAUGGGCAGGCCGAAGCGUCUAACAAAGGAAUUAUCAAGCUUAUUAAACGAAAGAUUGAAGAAAAUCCUAGGCGGUGGCAUACAUUGUUAAAUGAAGCACUAUGGUCUUAUCGGAUGGCUAGUCAUGGAUCAAUCAAGGUGUCACCCUAUCAAUUGGUGUAUGGACAUGAUGCAGUGUUGCCUUGGGAGAUUAAGGCUGGAUCUAGGCGAUUAUCUUUUCAAGACCAAUUGGCUGCCGAUGAUUAUGCCACUUUGAUGACCGAUGAGUUAGAUGACUUAGCAGGGCAUCGGUUAAAGGCUUUAAUGAGUAUAGAAGAAAAUAAGAAGAGAGUUGCUAGAUGGUAUGAUAAGAAAGUAAAGGCUAAGGAGUUUGCCGAUGGGGAUUUGGUAUGGAAGUUGAUUUUGCCAAUCGGGACUAAAAGUUCGAAGUUUGGAAAGUGGUCUCCUAAUUGGGAAGGUCCUUAUCGGAUAAGACACUCGGCUCCUGGUAAUGCCUAUAUUCUAGAAACUCUCGAAGGAGUUGAAUUUCCCAGAGCAUUAAAUGGCAAAUAUUUAAAGAAGUACUACCCCAGCAUAUGGGUCGAUGCAUGAAAGUUUAAGUGCCGAUAACACUCCUAUCGGCUAGAUUUAAAUGUUUGGGGGCAGACUUAAUGUUUCAAAAGAUGCCGAUAACAGUCUUAUCGGCUAGACUAAAAGCUAAAAGCGGGAAAACAAAGGUGUGUUGCCGAUGAAAGCUUCAGAUGUUCAGCAGCGCUUGGAUUGCCGAUAUGGCGCGCAGCCGGAUCUGAUUGGCUGUCUCCAUCUCUUUGAUAUCAUCAUCGGCAGAACCUUCUAUCGGCUUCAGCUUCCUCUUCAGCUGCAACGCUUUGCGACCGUGGACGUUUCGUUCUUGUUCAAGGUACUUGAUGGUCUCCGGCAGUUGACUCUCUUCUUGCUGGGCUUGGGACAGAGCAUCCUCUACUUGCUUGAGUUCGGCCAAUAGAGCUUCUCUUUUUGCCGAUAGAUCAGAUACUUUCUGCUUCAGUGCAUCACCUGAGGACUUUAAGGUGCCGAUGUUCCUGUGUUUCUCAUCGGCUAAGAGUUUUUCUUUCAUCAUCUCCUCAGAAAGCUGGAUUUGAGCGGCUCUAUCGGCAAGGCGUCGAGCGGCUCUCUGGUACUGUAGCUGGCGGCUUUCUAGGUGUGCAGCAUGGAAGAGGGUUUCUUCAGCAUCGGCAGGAAUUUGACCUCUAAGGGUUUUGAACAGGGCCUUAGCUGGGUCAGAAUCGUUGACCAGUUGAGCUGUGUCUUGAUGAAGUAUGGCCGAUAGCUCCUCCAGCUUAGCCCUGGUUUCUGCCGAUACAGUCCCAAUUGCCCGAGAGGAGCUUGCUUCCUCACCUUCUUCUUCGAAGAUAUCAAUGGCGAAGGAGAAUAAGCUAUCUGGAGAAUCUUGUUCCUGAAAAUGAGAAUGAAAUAAGUCAUUUUUAUGGUCAAAGCUUCGGCAGACGAUGCUGGUGGAAAAAUUGGAUGACUUACUUGUUUCAAGGCAAUUUCUUGCCUUUGACUCAAAGAUACCGAUGGAGCUACAGGUUGAUCGGCAAAUGUUGCCGAUGGAACGAUAUCGCCUGAAAGAAGACAGGAAGGGUUAUGAGACUAAACGAGAAUAAGUUUAUCGGCGGAAGUAUUGUUGAGAUAUGUUACCCGGAGGAGGAACAACAGUUGUCUGAGUCGGGGAAACCGCCGAUGAUAUAAUUGGACCUGCCGGGCCAGUUGUUUGUUCACCCACGUCAGCUGAUGUACCUUCUGUUUGAGGUUCUUCCUGCUAGGGUUCUUCCGUCUGUGGUGCUUCCUGCAUUGGUUGGGGAGAUGGUGCUUGCUGUGUCUGGACUUCUGGAGAAGAAGGGGAAGAUUCCACCGGGAUUGGAGACACCGGAGGAGGAGGGGGAGUUGCCACUUUCUGGCGCUUUGUUCCAGCCUUAGCACCUUGGGUGCCCUUCCUCUUUGGCUGGCUAGACAGGGGGGCAUCGGUACCUUGGCGUUUGGCUUUUGCCGAUGCACCAGUUUGCUGCAACAACAAAAAGGAGUUUAUGAACACAGAUAGCCGAUACAGAGAUAGUCAGCAUAAAUGAAAAGGGUUUGACAAAUUGCCUUGAAAGCUUGCGCCAGAGUGGAAGCAGUCACCGUUGGCGAUGUCUGAGUUUUCCUGGUGGUAACUUUCUUGAGGCGCGCACCCCGAUGCACGAUGGAAGCCAGAGUGGGAGCAUUGUGGCCGACUGAGGAGAUCGGGCCUGAGGGGAACAAGUCGAUCGGCUUGCCACUCCUGCUAACAGAUGGGGGGGUGUUGUCAACCUGCAAAAGAAAUACAGGGGUAAGUUACCGAUGGAAAUAGUAUUGGAAAAUGAGACAUCGGUUUAAAAUACUUAGAGUGUCAUCAGGGACUUCGUAUUCAGGGUCGAUCAUGCCGCGGUAUGAGAGGGCCGAUCUGCAGAAGAGAUUCUCUUUCCAUUCUGCCCACCAUAACUUGUAUGCCUGAGUGAUAAAGGCAGCUGGAACCCAUUCUGACAGAUCUACAUCUGUAUCGGCAUUUGGUGGUAGCUGGGCUACUCGAGUCCACUCGAGAAGAUUGGUGAUGGGUUCUCUGGGCUUUAUCACAUCGGCAUAAGGAAGUGCAAUCGGCAAUUGGCCGAAAGCUAGCUGGCGAGCUAAUGCCGAUGGAUUGUAAAAUUCAUAGGUUUGGGGAGAGGUUUUUGUGCUACCGAAGAAAUUCACUGGUAUGGCUCUGGGAGUCACAAUUGCCAUCAUCACCUCAUUAUCCCUGUCAAGAGCUUCAUCAAAUGGAUUGAAGGUUAGAGGGAGCAUGCUGUCUGGGUCAUCAUAGGCCAACCAUGGUCGUUCAUCUCUGGCCAAUCCCUCAUACAGAGUCUCGAAGAAUCGGCCGAUCUGAUCCGGAUUGUUCCCUGAACCGGGUAAGACUAUAACGGCUUCGCCAAAGUUCAAGGGGGCACGCGUUGCCGAUUCCUCUUCACCCAACACAUGAUUUUCGGCUAUAUCUCUUGGGAAGUGCUGUGAGAACAAGUUGAAAUCAAGGCGCUUAUGCAGGUGCAGAUUGAGCCACAUAUUAAUAAACCACCAGGGGCCUCCCAAGUUGCCGAUGGAUUGGCCAAGCAGGAGUUUCUGGGCUACCUGAUGAAGAAGGUGGUAAACAGCGCUGAGCAAAUAUCGGCCGAGAGGAAAUUGGCCACCGCUAGCCAGUCUUUCUGCUGCCGAUAGAUAGACAGAAGUCGGUCCUGCCGAUCGACCACAGAAUACAAACUUGUCCAGCCACAUGUUCAGAAAGGUGGUUUGCUCCUUUAGGGUGACCGGCCCUCUCCCGCGGUACUUCUGGAUGUACCCUGACCAACCGCCGAUAGCGCGAGUCUCCACUUUGGCACUGGGGGCAGUAUCAAAAAAGUGGGUGCUAUCGGCAGAAGAUAUAUCUAGCCCAGUGAGCAUGGCUACAUCGGCAAGGGUAGGAGAAGCAGGGCCGUGGCCAAAAACAAAAGCAUUGAGAGUGUCUGACCAAAAGUAGGAUGCAGCUAUCAGCAGUGACUCGUUCCUGUGCAUAUCGGCAAUGGAUAGCCUAAUGCAUUGAGCUAGCUUCCUUUCACCCCACUAGACUUCAUAAGAAUUGCUGACCCUCAAGAACCAAUCUUUCCACCCUACAGUAGGGCUGGGCCAAGAGCGAAAGGUGUCUUUCCACAGAUCUAAAGAAAAGUUUUCGGCUCUAAAGGGAAUCCUGUUGGUUUCUGCAUUGAUAAGGUCGGUUGGAUCUGGAUUCCCUAGAGGGCCGAGGCACUGAAGGUGUGGUUGAUCGGUAGGGAUGACAAUUUUGUUGGACAACUCCUAGUGUUUUGGGGAAUAAAAAUACAAAGAAAAAGGAAAAGGAAGAUAUUCAGUAAGAUGAAUCGCAGAUGAACAGGAAUGCGAGAAAAGGUACAGGAGAUGAGAUGGAAGUCUGACCUCAGGGACGACGAAGCCAAUGGCCAUCUUGUCGUGAAGAGGACGUUGGAAGGCACCGGAGUUGAUGAAGAGGAGUGCUUGUCGGAAAUCUUGAGGGUUGUAAAUGGCGCCGCCGCUGGAAAAGCAAAGUUGGAUAGUAGAAUGGUGUAAUGGGGGAGGAGUACCCAAGAAGGAACUAUUUAUAGGACAAGAUGGGCAAGGGCAAAUCCGACUUAUCUCUUUGCCGCAUCCGAGAAGCCCGAGGGUACUCAGGUGGAUAUGGUAACUGUUCGCACGGUAAUCCAGGGAUUGUGCAGGUGAUUUGACGGGAAGCGGUCAUUAUCUAAAGAUAUUUUACUGUGCGAGAUCUCCUGGUCGGUCCAUCGGCGAUAUUCUAUAACGGUCAUCUUGCCGAUGGGCGGAUAGAGGGGAGGUAACCGUUUUUGCGAAUAUCCUGGUCGGAGCAUCGGCAGAUCUUUGUAACGGUAUUGUUGCCGAUGUACGACCAAGAAAGAUGCCCGUUUAGGAAGUUGGGGAUUUCGAGGAAUCUGCGGAGGAUUAGGAUCAGAGUUGUCCAGAUUGAGGUUGUCGGUUACCAGAUUAGGAGCAUUAAUUGCGGAGAAGGCAUCAUUACUGCAGAGAAUUUCGGAGCAUUAAUAGUUUUAUACUCCGAAACUGGGGGGCAUGUGUUGACACCAUUUUUGGGCACGUGUCUAGGAUGGCAGGAUAGGGUGGCAGUACGAUGCGGGUUGCUGAUGAGGAUGGUUGCCGAUAAAGGAGAGGUUGAAUGUGACUAAGUCCACAGGCAGUAAUAUGGUGCCGAUGGCUGGAUAAAAAGGUCUGCCGAUGACUAUGGCAAGGGGAUUGCCGAUGAUGCGAAGGAGGAGUCCGGAAGCUGCCAGUUGUCAUGUGGAGGAGUUUCGGUUUGUUACGAAGGAUAGUUUUAUUAUUUCCUUAAUUAUUUGCAUCGUUUUGUAUACGGAUUCCGUGUAAUUUGGAAUUCGAAUUCUAAUCGUGUCUGGUUGUAGUUCUUUGAGCAGGGUAUAAAUAUAAACCCUAGGACCUUGUAAAAAAUAUCAAGAAAUCAAUCAAACACACGUUUUUACUCAUAUUCCAGCAUCUACUUUUCGACGACUUCGUCAUACUUUUUUCUUUUUAUUACGAGUUCUUAGGAAUUCGUCGACUUAAGCUCGGCGUGUUCUCGAGUUCCGCGUGAGUACCUCUUACCCGUGACAUCCGGGCGCAUCGCUGUUGUCAGGACUAAAGUAUUCGAGUUAUCACCUUUGCCGAUAGCAAGGUCAAAUCGGCUGGCACGCCUUAACGUUUGAAUCGGGUAUUAGCCCUUUGUGUUUGCAGAUCAGUUUUGCAUCAACAGUUCGAACAAGACAAUUACCGGGUAAUAUCAAUUCAAGGAUGGCUAUUCAAUAGGUUUUAACUAAGCAGCGAAAAUACUUCGUACAUAUAUCGUACAUGCAAUAUUUAAAACGGCUUCUACGGGUUGUGUUUAAAAAUAGGAUCAAUAUGCAUCAAAGGGGAUCUGUUGGACUUGCCUCCGUCGGCGUCCUCGGCAAACUCCUGCUGACAGUCCGGGUCCUCGGCGUCAAACUCGCGGUACUCGUUUCCAACGUUCUCGUUUUCCGGCUCGUUCACUCCGUCAGCUAAAAUACGCGACGAACGACACAGACAACAGACACAGAUAAAUAAUCACAUAAAUUUAAAUGAGCUCUAAAAAUCAUGAAAUUAAUAUGGAAGGUAGAUCAUGAUUUUAGAUGAAUUUAGGAAAAAGAAUUAUUAAAAUCAGAGUUAGCAUGUGGCAUUUGUGAAAUGGCCAGAAUUUAAUCAUGAAAAAGGCUAACGAUGAUUAAGGAAUGGAUGCUUCACGUGGACAUUUGUUUGGCUGGUAGUGCAUGUUGCAUGCAUGCAUGUACUAUUUGGAGUUAAUGCUUGGCCCACACAUGCAUGGUUAGAGAGAAAUUAGCAGGGGGUCAUUAGAACUCUUCUAUAUGUCAUGGUUCUAUUCGUGGAGUUCUUGGCAGUGAAUCGGUACAGACAAAUACAUGGAAAAAUACAGGAAAAUACUACAGAAAGACAGAGAAGAACAAGGAGAUGCUCAUGAGCUGCUCACCUCGUCUUGCGACGACAGUCGAGCUCGGCUUGUGCGUAUGGCCGUAUACGGUAUACGCGAAGUGAGAGCGAGUGAGCGAGUGAGUGAACGUGUUUCUCGGGUGGUGAGAGUGAGCACCCGAGGCUGGCUUUUUAUAGGCCAAAGCGCUCAGCUGCGUGCCAUUAAAAAUGCAACUGUAGCGCAUGGUCGGUGCCUAAUUUCAUACGAAGGACGAUGUCCCAUUUGCAUGCACGUUGCAUGCAAAUGGACGGUGCCUAAUCAUCGUGUCCUUGCAUGCAGGUGCAUGCAAAUGGUCGGUGGCAUGUCCUGCAUGCAUGCAUGAGAUAUAUAUUCGUGUAGGUGCACUGCUAUGUUUUCUCGCAUGUAAGCUUGCUGGUACUUGCCAUUAUUUGUGCGCGAAAAAUAUAAAUGGUGCCUAGUUGUACGUUGCGACUUGCUAUCUUUUUUACAGCAAAAGAGGCGCGGGAAAAGGCAAGAGGUGGGGCCCGCAUGCCGCGGUGCGCGAGCGAGCGAGUGCGCUCGGCGAGGGGGCCGGGCGUGAGUGCGCUGCGGCGCUGAUGGUGGUGGGGUCGGCGCACGCGCCGUUGCCGGGUAUCGGGCAGACCAAGCGAGCAAGAGGGAUAAGUAGCGGACAUAUGAUGCUCAUGCCAUGCGGUGCAGGUUAUAUUUAAAGAUGGAUAAUUAGAAUGGAUGGAAAAAGAAUUAGAUGGAGAUACUAUAGAGCUCAAAUGAUUUAUAGUUUCUGAAAUAUAUUUUGAAAAUAAUUUUUUUAAGGCGAGUGAUUUUUGAAUGUGAAUUUUUGGGAUGUUACAUUUGGCUUAUGACAUACUCCCUCCAUUUUUUAAGUGUCAUAUGUAGUUUGUCCUAAGUCAAACAUAUAUAUCUUUGACUAUUGAUUUUAAAAAAAUUAUAUAUUUUCAUAUAAUAAGAUUUAUAUUUUUAGAUUUAUUAUGAGAAAUGCUAUCGUAAUAUAUAAUUCACUAGUAAAAAUGCCCGUGCGUUGCAACGGGAGCGAAACUUAUGAUUUCUAAUUAGAUUUUAUAUUUUGGCUAGAUGUGGAGCUAAAACAUUAUUGGUAUAUUUUUUUACCAAAGCCUAGCAUCAUCAGUCUUGAUCACGUCAACGCUCUUUCAUGUUCCUCUCUCAAUUCUUAUUCCUUCUUAGCCUUGUAACGCUUUCACGUGACCAACAAUAUAUAAUCUCUCUUAUGGUCUCUAUUUAUUUUUACAUGAAAAUUAAGAUCGGCCUAAUUCAUGAUAAUAUACUUAUAAUUUAAACAUUGCAUAAUUUAAAAUGACAGGUAAUUUUUUUAUAGAAAAAUGAGAGCUAAUUGAAAAAUGUAUAAAAACAAAAGCCUAUUUGGUCUAGCUAAAGACAGACAAAAUAGUUAGAAACGUAACCUGGAUAUAGGCUGGGAAAGCCCGUUUGGGUCUUCCAAACCUGUUCGCCUACCUGAGCCGUAAGCUCCCUCGGCCGCUGAUCCACAUUAGAUGGAGAAGCUUCUUCCGUUCAUGAACAAAACUGUUGAGAAGUUGAUUUAAGCCCUAGGGUUUAUUUGGUAGGGCUCUAGUUCUGGCUAAAACAGCUUCAAUUGUAUAUUUUUAUCAUAGAGCAGCUUUUUAUGGCUUCAGUUUGUCUCAUUAGUAAAAUGUUUAGCAAAACAACUUCUCCUAUCUCAUCAAAAUGAUUAAAUGUAUGUAUUGCUCUUUUUUUCUCUUUUACCUUUUGUUUUUUCAUCCUUAAUUAUCCAAACAACCGACAAAAAAUUAAUUGUGAUAAAAUAAUAUGAUUUAUUUUUCUCUAGAAUGGCAAAUACCAUUAACAUUUUAACAAUAAUACCACACGGUGCAACAUGGUCAGGUCAUGGGAAUUUUCCAGUUCCUUGCCAUGACUUUCUUGUUUGGAUCUCAUGUGGUCAUAAAGUCUCGAACUGUCCCAUAAAUAAAAAUACAUCUAGGAUUUAAAAAGUUUCCCAUAAUAUGUGUCAUAUAGGUCUUAUAGGCUACUGUGGACACAACGCAUUGCUAGUUCGUGUGGGUCCGAGAACGAAAAAAAAAACAACGGAGCCUCCUAGAAGCGCCUGUGAUUCAUCCUAUUUUCCCAAAAAAAUUUACGAAAUUUUUCAGAUUCCUCAUCACAUCAAAUCUUGCGGCACAUGCAUAGAGCAUUAAAUAUAGAUAAAAAAUUAACUAAUUAUACAAUUCACAUGUAAUUUACGAAACAAAUCUUUUGAGCCUAGUUAGUCCAUGUUAGACAAUAUUUAUCAAAUAAAAACGAAAAUACUACGGUGCCCAUUUUGCAAAUUUUGUUGCAACUAAACAAGACCUUGUUUGUGUGCGGGGCAAAAAAAAAACAAAAAAAGGAACUUAGGCCUUGUUUAGUUGCAAAAAAUUUGAAGAUUCUCAGUCACAUCGAAUCUUGCGGCAUAUGCAUGGAGAAUUAAAUUUAGAUAAAAACAAAAACUAAUUACACAGUUUGCCUGUAAAUCGCGAGAUGAAUCUUUUGACCUAAUUAGUCUAUAUGAUUAUACAAUAUUUGCUACAAAGAAACAAAAGUGCUACAGUACCCAAAAUCUAAAAUUUUUGCCAACGAAACAAGGCCUUAGUUCCCAAAAAAAUUGCAAAAUUUUUCAGUCUCUCUAUCACAUUGAAUUUCGCAGCUCGUGCAUGGAGCAUUAAAUAUAGGUAAAAAAAUAACUAAUUACACAGUUUAUAUGAAAUUUGCGAGACGAAUUUUUUGAGGCUAUGAUUGAAUAAUAUUUAUCAAAUAUAAACAAAAGUGGUACGUUCACAUUUUGCAAAUUUUUUUGUAAAUAAACAAGGCCUCAUAGAAAAAGACAAAAAAAAAUCAACGGAGCCACCUCCCACCUGCAUCCAUCAAGAAGCGCCCGUGACCAGUCCUGCACUCAUGCGGUCCACUCGUUUGCAUCCGCAUCUCCUCCGCCGCACCAUCCACUCGUUCAUCUUCCCUUCCCCACCCAGCUCACAUCCCGUACAGCAGGAGAGCUCGAUCCUUCUGCUUCCUAAUAACCAGAGCAGUUCCCCUAUGUGUGCAUGGCGAGAGGGACUGGGAUCCAUCGCCGUAGCCGUCGGAUGCCUCAUGCUGGCAAGAUGUGUGCUAUUAGGGGCGCUGUAAUGGAGCCCCAUGGCGACUUGGCGAGGGUGUACUCAAGGCCGAGGGCCACGGAAUCCGCAAGCGUAACCGUGGUGGAAGCCUCGGCCAAGUAAUCAAGGCAGGUAGCGCCGACUCUGACGUCCACAAGCCAAGCAACGCCGAUUCACUUAGGGAGGACUGGAUCUAUGUGUGCACAGAGGAAGCCUCCACCUGGUGCUGCGCCUAGAGGGGGCAAGCCGGCCUCCUCGUUGUCGCACCCAGCCAUGCCCCGCCCCUAGCACUCGCACUUGUCUGCAUCCUUCCCGCGCCGCCGCCGCACCUCCUCCAUCCACGUCGAGGACUCCAUCGCUAAGGUGGAGGUGGGUGUAGAUUUGAUUUUCCCAAUUACUUUAUUUGGGCAUCCGAUUGUUGGAUUCCCGUGUUGAGAACGAUUUAGACUUCGGCAGGUCUGUGGACUUCAAACAGACGGACGUUAUUCCGAGCGACAGAAGAUCGGCGUGACCGAUGUGAGCGGCAGAAAAAAAAUUUGGCAGACUGAAAUUUUCACAAUUUAGUAGUAGGGAUAGAUAUAUUGUGAAACUAUAAUUUUUUUAAAACAUGGUUGGUUAAAUAUUGUAAAGUUUGACUUAGGACAAACUAAAUGUGACACCUAUAAAAAACCAGAGGGAGUACAUAGAAUUAAUUCUAUUUCAAGACAGAUGUAUUAGUAUAAUAAAUAAGAGAUUAUGACAAACUGCUUACAACCACCUGUAUAGUCCACUGAAGUUGAUUUCACAUAUGACGUCCAACAAUAUAUUCCACCGCUAGCUCCUCUCCAUGCAAGUGGACUAAGAUUUCUUCCUAGGAAUUGAAGGAAUAUAAAAAAAAAACACUACUAUCAAGCCGCACUAUGCUAUCCCAUUAAUCAAUGGAGGAACUAAGUCGCACUACGGAAGCCGAUAGUCCCACAUAUCGCCCUCAUGCCGGCCUCAGAAAAAAAAAAGAAGAACGAUAAGAUUUAAGAGAGGGACACACAAUGAGAGAGACAUCAUUAACCACACCGGGUCGAGAUGUGGACGUCACCAAAUCAACAAGUCGAUCAACAUGAAUACGAGGGCUCUUCAAACCAUGGACAACGGCAUACGCGAUAGGUCGUAUUUACAUCUAGAAAACACGCUGUUUUAGUGUUAAUUUUAUUACAAGCAAGACCAGCGUAUGGUGUUUUGUACAAGUCUGAAACGUCCCUUGUCGGUUAGUUUUCUUUGCCGAAUUCUUUAAAUUAAAACCGGCCACUUGGCGGUAGCCAUUAGGCCAGUCUCAAUGCAUAGUUUUAUGGUACAGUUACCAAGACUAUAAACUAGGUAACCGAGCCAUAUAAGUUUUAUAGGGAUGAAACUUCUCUCUCAUGUGAUAAAACUCCUUCAUUUAAUGACUAUGCCAAGUCAAUAAUUUUGCUUAUGUGGCAUCCUAUUUAAUGUACAUGACACUUUCAUAAAACAUGCAUUGAGACUAGCCUUAGGGAUAUCAACCCGUGACAAUGGUUGUUGCGCUGUUUUCGAAAUGCCUUGCGCCUCGCGUCUCGAGUUUUUUGGACUUGUUUGGCUAUGCUUUUGUCGCGUCUGACGAGACGCACGGGGCCCACAGGAGCUUCCUAGGAAGCUUCGCUGCUUGGACCGUUUUGCCCUUGGGAUUUGGGGCUAGGGUUGCUACUGCGAGUAUACAUGGCCAUGUGGGCCCGUGACCUGAUGACCCGGGGAUUUGGUCCAGCCCGAGCACGUAUGACACUGUGGCCACCGGGCCUGGGCCGGCCCAUCCCGAGAGACCAGGCCGUGUCUGAGCCGUCACCCAAGCACACGGCAUGGCACGAGCAUGGCCCGUUUCAACGGUUGGUCCGAUAGCAUCUCAGGUGUAGUUAUAACUUGUAUAUAUGUUAUGUUAAUUAUUAUAUUGGUGAAAAUGAAUGAUAAAAAUUUGAGCAUUUGGUGAAAAAUAUUGAUAAAAAUGAGCUGUUGUCGGUUUGAUGGGCCAUGGGCCACACGGCACGAAAACCGGCUCGUGGGCCGAAGGCUAGGUAUGAAGCCUGUAGAGGCAUGGCCCGCUAGACACGACGGCAUGUAGCGGCUCGGCAAUCUGUAGCACGGCAUGACACGGCAUGACAUUGGGCUAGCCCGCCACGGCCCGUUGGACAUCUCUAACUGCGAGUGGCCUAUCGGGAUAUGGUGUACUCCCUCCGUCCCAAAAAAAAUGUCGUUUUGGGUUUUUGUGCCACAACUUUGACUCAAUUUGUAGAAAAUGUGUAUAAUAUUUAUAUCUCUAAAUAAAUUUAUUAAAAAAACUAGACUUAAAGAUCUUUUCAAUGAUACUAAUUAUGUACAAUAAAUAUUAAUAUUUUUUACUAUAUAUUUAGUUAAAGUUAUUUUUCGAGAAGCGUAAACGACACUUUUUUUGAGACGGAGGGAGAACUAUCCAUCUGGCUUCAGCGCGCUGCAAGCUGCACGGGUGCACGGCCCGGUUGAUAUAGAUCUUGAGCAGUGCAAAGCUGUUUGGUUGAGAGUGGCGAAAUAAGGGGUGGCCUUGGCACGGUGUUGAAUUUUGAUCGUUCUCUAGAGAUGAACGGGGAAGGCCCGGCAAGGUAAGUAAGCUCUGUUUGAUAUAUAUGGUGGAUGAUAUGAUGAGGUUAGAAAUGCCUUGGUACGUGCGUUAAUUGAUUCCUACACGUGCAUGUUACACGAGCGAGGAACAUGCAUGCAUAGAGGUAGAGCACUCACUUGGGGUACGAUUUCAACUGUUUCCAAGAUAACUGCCGUUGCGUACCCCCAGUGCCAACGCGUGAGAUCAAAUCACGGUGCUCCGCUCGCGCUAAGGCCGGCAGGUGCCGAAUGCCAAAUCUCCUCGUCGCUGUCGCCGUCGCCGUCGCCGUCGCCGUCGCCGCGCUUGCCUCCUCGUCGUCAUCAGAGGGUGCUCCGAUCCGGUAAUUUCGCGAGCAUAUACCCACUUCCGGGCUUUGGAAAUCGGCUCGCGCUUUCCUCGUACCUUCCUCCGCCGUCGCCGUCGCCGCGGAUCGUCUUCGGCCCCGGCCAGUAUAUAUAACCAAAAACUAAGUCCACCCACCCGGAGAUUAAUUAGUACAACUUUCGCCGCAACAGCGCGCACACACACACAGCAACCAAGCACCAGAGCGGCCGCUACCGCACGCACCGCCACCGCCGCCGAUCGAGGUAGGAGAGAGAGCACCUGAGCCUCCACUGUCGCGGCAAGCAGCAGAAGAGGAGGAGGACGACGAAGCGGGGGCAGGGAGGGGGCCGGGAGGAACAUCCAGGAGCGCGCGAGUAGUGAAGGACGACGACGAUGCUUCCGGGCGUGGGGCUCACGCGGCUCUCGCGGCGGCGGCGCGUGCACUACCACGGCGGCGACGUGGCGUCGUCGGCGGGCGCGGGGGAGCACCACGCCCACCACCACCACCACCACUACGACGCGCACGCCCACCACGCGGCGCCGCCCACGGGCGUGGCGGGGCCCGCGCUCGCGGCGCGCAUCCGGCUCGAGGAGAAGCUGCGCGGCGCCGCGCUGCCGUCCACGUCGCCGGGGUCCAGGUCGGUUGCCUCUCUCCCUCCCUCCGGCCAUCUGCUUCCUCCCAUGUUUUGCAUGCACGAGCACGACUCCGUUGGGAAGAUGACUGAGCGAUGAUCCAAAGAUCAAAUGAUUGCACGCGAAGACACAGUUCUGUCAGUGUUCCCCUGUUUCACCUGACAAAAAUCAGCUAAACCACAGGCCGGCCGUGUGUCAUUACGAUUCAUUCACCAAUCACCAUGCUCUCUUAGCAGAUGCAUUGGGCUCCAUACCAAAAGGCUGAAAAAUUUCGUGACAGAAAAUAAUAUUUAUUUAUUUAUUUAUUGUGAAAGAUAAACAGAAUUGAAUGACAAUUAGAUUCAACCGGUAAUCACGUGGACGAUGCAUGGAAUCUUGCAUGUGCUGUGUGGCCUGGCCUUUUUCGCUCACGAAAAGGAAAGCUGGGUCAAAAGAAAAAGGCAAGGCGGAGAGUAUCUUGCCAUGUGAUGACUGAUGAGAAUGAAAAAAAAAACACUUUGGAUCUGUUUCGACUUUCGAUCACAAGCAUCGCAAACACUUUGGUAAAAAUUUCGCCGCGUCAGGAAUAGCAAAGCAUAUCCCCCCCUAGGCCUGCCGGCUUUGGAAACCGCCUCGCGCUUUCCUCCUACCUUCCUUCCUUCCCGUUCCAGUCCAGCACGCCGCGCCGCUCCACGUCGUCGUCGCCGCGGAUCGUCUUCCACCUCUCCCUCUCUCUCCACCCGCACCUUUCCCCGCCAGUAUAUAUAACCAACCCAAGCUCAGGUCACCCCAGAGAUUAGAAAAUUUCGCCGCAACAACACACACACCAGAGCCGGCCGCUAAUAUACCGCACGCGGCGGCGCACCGCGAGCGCCAACACCGAGGUAGGUAGAAGGGGGGGGGGGGGGGGGGCACGAGAGGGGUGGAGCCGAGCGAGUCGGCCAGCCAAGGACCUCCACCGUCGCUGCCCGCAAGCAGCAGAAGAGGAGGGAGAAGAGCCAGCCAGCCCAGGACCGAGGUAGCCAAGGACGAUGCUUCCGGGCGUGGAGCUCGCGCGGCGGCGGCGCGUGCACUACCACCGCGACGUGGCGCCGUCGUCGUCGUCGUCGGCGGCGGCGGUGGGCGCUGGGGAGCACCACUACUACGCGCACGCCCACCACGCGGCGACCACCACGGGCGUCGUGCCGGGGCCCGCGCUCGCGGCGCGCAUCCGGCUCGAGGAGAAGCUGCGUGGCGCCGCGCUGCCGCCGUCGACCUCGACCUCGACCUCGCCGUCCAGGUCGGUUGCCUACUUGCCUCUCCCUCCCUGACUCCCUCCCUCUGCUUCCUGCCCCUGCGUUUGCUUCCGUUGGGAAGAAAGAAGACGAGUGACUGAUGAGCGAUGAUGAUCCAAAGAUCAAAACGAUUGAUUGGACAGCACAGCAGCAAAAGAUUCAAGAUCGCCGGCCCGUUUUGGUCAGUUCCCUGUUUUUCACAGAAAACAAAAAUCAGCUAUAAACCAGAUCGUGUGUCAUAAUAAUUCCAUGAUAUGCUUGGCGGAGAGAGGGCAUUGGGCUGACAGUGACAUCCCUUGUGUUGUGGGCCACGCGGUUUCUUGAUCUUGAAUCUAAAUCCGGAGAGUCGGCUUCCCUUCUCUGUUUGAUUGCUGUCUCAACUCUGAAUUAUUGCGUGAUCCAUCCCAAUUUCCCAUGAUACAAAAAUUCUAGAUGCUGUAUUAUUAUUAUGCUACUAGUAAUUGCAAUUGCAUCUGGCAAGUCGACGAUGGAAUCUUUUCAUGCGCAGUGUGGUCUGCCUUUUUUCCGCUCCUAAUGAAAGAGAAAAGCUGACACAACAACAACAACAACAAAAAAAAAACAGAGAGUAUGUUGCCAUGUGAUGAGAAAAACACUUUGGAUCUGUUUCGAGUAACAAGGAAAAUUGGUUAGAUGAUUCAGCACCCCCCAAGGCCAAGUCAGAGUACGAAAACGUCAGCAAGAACCAACCGUCGUUGACUGGAAACUGCCUGCUGCUCGGACAUCCAUUUCCAUAUUUUUCCCCCUUCUGUUUUCUUCAAAAACGCGUUCGGCAUGAGUCGUGAUCUUGGAAAUCCGUAACAAACAUCAGAGAAUUACCAAACCUCACGCUUGUUGUCUUUUUGAAUUUGAGUUGUGUGUGUGAUUGUGCCCUAAUUAACAACCAGCGCCUGAAUCAAAACGCAUGCAGGUGGAGCAGGCUGAUGCGCGACGGCAGAUCGACCCCGAGGCAGCCUCAGAGUCAGAGUCAGAGCACCAGGCGGCGAGACGACCAGCUGGACGCCGUCCCGGCGACCAGCGCCGAGCCGGAGCCCAGGCGGGCGGUGGCGCGUCCCGGCCCAGCGGCCGUGCUGCAGGCAGCGGCGGAUACGGCGGCGUCGACGACGACGCGGCAGCGGCGGCGGCGGGCGGAGCUGACGCGGACGCUGUCCAAGGUGGACGUGUGCGCGGUGUGCCUGGACGAGGUCCGGGACCGGGAGGACCGGCGGGUGACGCGGCUGCCGUGCUCCCACAAGUACCACUCCGAGUGCGUCCUCCCGUGGCUCGCCAUCCACCCGGACUGCCCCUGCUGCCGCGCGCUCGUGCCGUCCGCCGACACGCUCGUCCACCAACUCUAAGCUGUUGUUGUUGGCGGUGGCCUGUCGCUGCUGCUGCUGCCCCCCUCGCGGUCGUCGCGGCUGGUGCCGCCGUGCCGAUCCACAUCCACGCCAUGGGUCUCUCGUCGAUCUGUUGUUUUCCGCUUGUUUUUCACGAAUGUGUUUGUUUGUAGUAUGUGUUUGGUACUGGUACUAGUAGGCCGCAGCUAGCUGCAAACCUGCUUGUAGCAUAGACAAGAGUUUUUUUUUUUUUUUGUUAAUAGAUGGCUUGGUAGCUAGUAGCUAGUAGCAUAGAGCAUAGGGACUGUGUAGACGAGCUCUAGACAUCUGGCGCUGUGUUGUGUUUUGUACUAUUCAAAUCAGGAAAUCCAUGUGAAUUGCACGAGCUGUGGUAAGUGAUAUGGUUGAAAUUUUGCAUACGCGGAAAAAGGUUUCACGAUUUUCUUGGAGGAUUUGCUAAAUUUUAGGUGUCCGAAAAUUUUUAGGCGAUAGUUAUUGCAUAAAUUUUAUAAAAAAAAUUAUAGUUUUAGUUCGUUUCAAUUUCUGUACAAGCAAUCUGUAAUUUUUUUCGGUUUCGAGAAUGAAAGAUCAGUUAGACAACAAAACCACAAGCCUAACAAAAUCUAAUAUAUGUUGGUAUAAAGAUAAUUUAAAAAUUGAUAAUUAUUUUCUAUUGUUAGACAGACAAAAAUUUAAUAUGUUAUAACACAAUGACAAAUAAAAAAUUGCAAAAGUAAUAAUUUACUUGCAUUAAUAUAGUAUAUUGCCUAAAAUCAUCUUAAAGUUUCAGACACCUGAAAUAUAGGAGAAGUGUUUUUUUUACGGUUCAGAUGUCAUUCCUCCUCCUGUAGGCUGUGUGCUGUUCCAUGAUUUGUUACGCCUCAACUACUAACAAAUGCCGUCCUCCUGGAGUGAUAUUUGUGUGUUUUCUUGUCCACUUCUUUUUCCCUGAUUGGCGUGCAAAUGACAGUUUUGACAAGUCGUCUAGGGGAAAAAAUUGAAAGAACUAGAGGCCACAUAAAAACCUAAAGAUGUACUAGUGUUAAACAAACACACACAAAUUUUUUUACUAUCAAACUAUGGAAUUAUACAAUUUUUUUGUGCAGACACGUGCUAUGUAUCAAGACAUAACUUAUAAUUUGAAAUUUGUCUAAAAAAAUUUAUAAUUUGUAAUAGAGGGAAUUUUAUUUGGGCACACGUGCCAUGUAUCAAGACAUGACUUAUAAUCUGAAAUUUGUCUUGAAAAACUUAGAAUUUAAAAUGAAAGGUACUCUUUUUUUUCUAAUUUCGAAAUCAAAGCUACUAGUAGUCACUACUCCCGUGUCUGCUUUUAUUGAAAGCAUCAUGCAUAAAUACUUACAAUAUUACUAUAAUCAGAAAUAUGCGUGUGGCCAUGUCGUAGCGGACGACGUGGCCACGGCGACGGCACCGGGC